Non-coding RNA from Podarcis lilfordi (Lilford's wall lizard), 67591 nucleotides. Lineage: Eukaryota; Metazoa; Chordata; Lepidosauria; Squamata; Lacertidae. The record is from the annotation of a GenBank genome assembly.
AGCAAAUGUAGCCACAGCAGCUGCCUUGCUACCACCAGACUGGUUCCUCCUUGAGCCAAAGCAGUGAGAAGAAAGGUGAGCUGCUGUCAUCUGGAACAAUUUGGAGGGACUCAGGAAGUGAUUCUCAGCAAGUUCCUUUACUAACAUAAUUCUUUUGCAUCUAAAAUGAAUAGAGUUGCAGACUGUAGAUGUCUCCAUAAACUGCACUGAGAAGUGUUAAAUAGCUAGAUUUUCUCAAGUUUCCCAUGAGCCCCACAAAUUUUACUCAGGGCUCUGACAAUUCAGCACAACUGUAUGCAUCAAGCCCCUAACCAAAGUGCUCCUCACCAAAAUGCCUAAACUAUCUUACUCCUGUCCUGCUGACAUUAUUUCCAGUUUGUCUACUCUGGAAUAGAGCCCAGCUGGAUUCUUGGCAUACAGUUCCAUGAUGACAGUUUACAGUAAGAGUUCUCUUAAUGUUAAGUAUAUUAUAUACUUUGAGGCCAUUAUAUUAAAUAUCUUUGUAUGGCAAUUGAAAGGUUUAUUUUUAUAGAGCUGCAAAUACCACGGGAAUUCAUUAAAAAGGCUUAAUGUAUAAAAACAGAGGUGGGGGAGUAGAAAGCUGUAUGUAUUCUUUUAAAUUAUCCCGGUUUUCAUAAAGUUUGAUUAUACCCCCUACAAGGUAUGAAUGCAAGUGUAAGAAAGUGUAAGAUUACGACACUUUAAAAAAUUAUAUACAACAUUCAUUAUCAUUCAAGGAAACAGUUGUAUGCCACAAAAAAAUGUUUCACUCCAAGUGUUUCAGCACUUACAAACUCAAUUUCUAAAUAUGUGAUACUGUAAUUAAAACCCAGAAAGGCCUUCAGGAAAAGAGGGGCAAUUUUGAAAUGGAUCCUACAAGCACUAGUCUCAUUAGGCAAGCUACACAUACAAACUACAUUUGAUCACCACCAACUCCUCUAGGAGUAUCUAUGCAUAUUUCUUAACCAUAGAAAAGCCUUCAUAACAAGGUAUUUUAAAAAUCUCCUAUUUAAAUGUGUAUUCCACUCUUCAAACAGAGACUGAUAUGUGAAGAGUGCAAUUAAUUUAAAAGAAUUUUUUUCCAGUACUCUUACCUUCCUGCUCCCGAAGCAAAACAGGGUAUUUUUUAUGUGCACCAAUUUGCUUUGAUUCUUUGGUCAGUGUAAACCAUAGCAAGUACUGCAUAGUGUUAUGCAGACUGGCAUUAAUUAAAAUGUAGCUAAAUGUGUUUUACAGUCCAAUUUUUAAACUCUUGUUAUAUGCACUGAGUACAGAAUUACUUCGGAAUGUAAUCAUAUUAAGUUUGGCUCUAGCUGUAUUUAACAAUACUUCUUUGUAGUAAAAUUUAGCUUGUACCAUGUAAGCACUUGCAUACUCUUAAUCAAACAUUGCAGUGAAUUAUGGUCUAAAAUGAACAUUCAAAUCUCCUAAUCUAUGACCAACUUCCUGGCAAUUACAUAAUAUACAACCUUUUACAGGUGAUUGUGGGCAGAGAAAUUUUGCUAACCGGAGGAAAAUUAAUUUUUGCCACUUGAAAAUGGUCUUUGUUUUCUGAUGGUUAUAGUAGGCUUGCCAUACGUCAGGAAAAUUCCUAACAUGUCCUGGUUUGGGGGUGUAAAAAUGGCAUCAGGGGGGAAUUUUGACAAAUUGGCAAAAUGUCAGGGGAAAUCCAGAUGUAUGGCAACGUGAUGGAAAAAGCAGAAACAGCUCAAAAAGCUUUAAGUCACAAUUUUGGGGUUAGGCUUCCCCAAAGAAACUCAACAAUUUGGGUGGUUUCCUAAAAGCUAAACAACUUUGUGGGUGUCAGAAAUUUUACUUUUUGAAAUAUGGCAACAAUAUGGUUAUAGUUUCCCUAUCCAUUAGGUAAUGCUAUCCAAUUUGGCUUUCACUCACUUUUUUUAACUAGUUCACCACCUAAUAAGUUAAUCUCCAGAUUUGUCAAUAUAAAAAUUACCAUAUUUCUCUGUAUCAUGAAUGCUAAAUGAAACCUGGAAUCUGCAUACGACCUACUAAAGUUUCACCCAAUCAGGUUUGCUAUUCUCUUGUACACUUCAUUUUAGGACUGUAACAAAAAACCAAAAGCUAUAGUUUCAAUAUCAAACCAUUUUCACCCCCGCCCACACAGUUGCUAAACAUCCAACAUGAGGAAUUUUUCUAGAGAACUCAAAAGCUUGCUUACUACUUUGUGACAUCAAACAAAGGCAUGACCCUAUGGUAGAUUUUGCCGUUUUUCUUAAGAACCUACAUAGCAUCCUUUGCUUUUUGUGUUUGCUUAGAUCAGGGAUAAUGAAUCUGUGGCUCCCAAGUUGUAGCUGGACUACAACUUCCAUCAUCCCUGACCACUGGCUAUGCUAGCUGGAGCUGAUGAAGUUGGAGUCCAAUGAACUUUGGGAGGGCCACAAGUUCCCCAGUCCUGGCUUCAAUGCUCUUUUAACAACUAUGGCUGGUUUUAUUGAUUGGUUGGUUGUGGAGAGGGAAAGGGUAGGGUUUAGCUAUACUUCUAUUGCUAUUGAAUAUUCUUGCCUUUUCUCAGUUAUGCUUCUUGUGCUAAUCUUAAAAUGAUCAUACAUGAAUGCUCCGAUUAGAACUGAGCUGAAAUUUGCCAGAGAAGAUAUUUUCUGAUACUAUUUCUGAGAAUUUUAUAACCCACAUCUGAAAAAAAGACCAUUUUGCAAAGUAUUUUCAUUUUGUUUUGUUUCUGCUACAUUUAGGUACCAUUGUUUGUUUGAUUGUGAGUUGUCCAGAGAGUUUCACUUUAUGGUGUGCCAUCAAAUGCUGAAAAAAUAAAAUAUUUUUGCCUCCCCCUGCCCUGCCCACUUUGGUGAUUGCCAUCAGGGGUGCCAACUUGAAUAAAAUAUUGGGGGAGGGGACCAGGUAAGCCCAUCCCCACAUAAUCAAUCACAUGACGCAGUGCACACACACCAUUUAAAUAGGAAUGCCCAUCAACUCUGUGGGGGCCCUGCCCCCUCAAAUAUCUUGUUGUGGGGGCUGAAGCCCCCAUAGUUCCUAGGAGUUGGCUCCUAUGAUGGCCACCAUUUUUUCCUCACAGUGCCCUGUAAUGAUGCUGAGUCAGGGGCAAGGCAGAAUAUGCAAAAUGGUAACCAGUUUGACAACAUAAUCGCUGUGUCUUCUUACAGCAAUAGCAAGCAGAGAGAGAGAGAGAGGGAGAGUUGAGGGGAAAGGCAGAAGCCAUGCCUUCUGUUGCUGGUGUGGAAUGUUUACUUGAAAUAAAACUGGUUCAGAAAUGGAAACUUUGUCAUUCUCCAGAUGUUAAUGGACUCCAGCUCCCAUCAGCCCCAGACAACCUGGCAAAUGGUCAUGGGUGAUGAAAAAUGUAGUUUAGCAACAUCAAGAGGAUCACAGGUUCCCCACCCUCGCACUAGCUACCUUCAGAUCUUCACAGCUUUGCUGAAGAGCCCAGGGCUUCUGUCAAGUCAUAAUGCAAAGGUGUUCAGGCAUCUUAAAUAAUCCUUGUUUUAUUGCACCUCCGCUAUCCUUUAUUGGUGUGCCAUCCUUAGCUAUUGAAGUUUAUAUUGUUUUAUAUUGGGUCCCUUAUAUGUAACUAAAAGAUGCAGUAUUUUUAAAGCUAAAAUCAAGAAGAAACAACGUAACCAAAUAUUAUUCAAGUCAACCAUGACAUGGCAUGUAAUCAAAAUACAAUCACUGAUGGGGAAAGCAUUUUCAUAGCCAUUGUCCAUUUUGUAUGAAAUAUGCAUUAAAUUAUUAAUAAGUCCUCUUAGGAUAAAAAUGUCAGAGCUUUUUAAUAUAUGUUACCAGCGCCAGUUCAAAACAGUUAUUGUUUGCCUUCACCACAGAAAUGCUAUUAAGCCUGUGGCUGUGAGUGACUGAAUCAUCUAAUCCAGCGCAGUAAAAUUGACUAUAUAAUCUGUCGGAGAGACGCUACAUCUACCAUCAAAGCCAGCAAAGCAGAACCCCACAUUCUAUUUUCAGGUUCCAAUUUUUAUCAAUACCUUACUGUGAUGUGACUGAUGCUUAGUAUUACCUGAGAAUGAUAAUAACAAAAUUCCUGAUAUGCCAGUUUCAAAAAUCUAAUGCACAAGAAACAUAUCUGGAGCAGCAGUUUCAGCAGUAAUGGUGCAAAUUACAUCAUUUGCAACCAUUUUAAGGAAAGGAUACCUUCAAACAACGAUAAAAUAUGGGUGCAGUUCUGUAUACAUUUUUCUUUUGAUAUACUGCAAGCCAUCCAUGAAGUUUAUUAAUCUUUGCCACUUUUUCUAUCAGUCAUGAAGCUGUAGCUUUCGCUUGCAUAGAUAUCUGGCUCAGAAGCAAAAUAAGGUGUUUGUGGAUGGGGGCAGGGGAGGCCCGAAAGCGUAUUUUAAGAGGCAUAGUACCUGGCUGCAGCAGACAAAUUGCAGCUCUCAACUAGCUCUUACCUGGUCUUGGUACACAAGGUUCAAAGUGAUGGGGAUAAAUGGAUAUAGAUUAGAAUUGCCACUGAAAUCCUGUGUAAAAUUAAAUUCAAAGCAAAAGAGGGGGCUCCUCCUCAAGUGAAACAUCGGAGUAAUUUGUACAGAAGCCAAGAGAGUUUUAAUAAUACUAGCACAACCUCAUGCAGAAGCAGCAACCAUCAAAAGCAUAGGAAACUAACUCAUCAUGCAUAAAGAGCACAUAUGGUCACAUACCCACAUUACAAUCAUCACAUGAGAGACAUUUUAAAUGUAUAUAGUUUAUGUUUCUAUGUAUAUCCUGUUUUUCUGCCGCAAGGUACUCAACACAGCUUGCAGCCAGUAACUAAAACAUAUGAGCACACACUUUGGAUUUCUCAGAUCACUCCACUUGAAAGCUAUUACCAUACAGUAUGCCAUUCAUGUACAGUGGCUUGUAUGGGCUGAAUAGUUUUCUUUAUGCCAGGGUGGGGACGGGGACUUUGAUUCUCUCUACACUGGUGCAACUUGUGAGAUGCGGCAUUGCAAAAUGAGAGUGUUAUCCACCCACAACAUGGCAGCUGAAACACAAAGGGGCCACCAUGUCUCUUGCCACUAUCUUCUUGGAAUACAACGCCUGCAAAUGCAAACUUAUGUAUUCAGCUUUAUUUAAGAUAGUGGUCGUCAUGUAUGCAAACGUUUAUAGCGUGUUAAGGCAGUAACAACAUGUAGAAUUUAAAAUAGAAUCUGGACUCUUGGGUGAUAUGAUGAAAAUUUUACAGUUUAAUAAUUCAAGCCAUAGAAAAGCAUCUCACAACCUUGAGUUCCCAGAUAUUCUUGAACUACAACUCCCGUCAUCUCUGACCACUGGCCAUGCUGGCUAGGAAUGGUGGAACUUGUAGUCCAACAACACCUGGGAACCCAAGGUUGAGAAAGGCUGGCUUACACAAAAGUGAAGGGGACUGCCCGUCACUUUCACUUUCAGUACAUAAUUUCUGUCUUAAACAUGUUGAAAAACUGUUUAAAUGGGUUGUAUUCUGUAUUAUAUUGCAUAUUUUAAGGUUCACAUUUCAUGCAAAUGGGGGAAGUUCUCUCAUUAAAAAUUACAAUAGUGAUUUUAUUGUUUUAUCUUUUUGUAAACUACUUUGAGGGUGUGUUUUAUAAAAAAGCAAUGAAGUGAUGCAUGUGUGUGUGUACACACACACAUUAAAUAAAAAACUAAAAUUCAUAAAAAUCUUGAGAAGAAGAAUCAAGCCAAUUUUCUCACUCAGUGACUCAGGCUGCUAGACCUUUUAGCUCAGCUACCAGCAUGCAGGUUACUGUAACAAGUGGUAGAGUGUCUACGGUCAGUGCAGUGCUUUCACUUGAUUGUGCCUUGAACAUAAAGAGCAAUUCAAAGUCAAAGUUCAAAAUUGGAUGCAAAAAUAUACAGUAUUGAUUUAGCAGUGUACAACACAGUAACAGCUGCACAAAUUUUAGGGCAACGGCAAAAAGUAAAGGUGCAGGGAAAAGAUUUGUGCUAUUAUUCCAAGUAAAAGUGGUUUCUGUGAAACGUCAAACCCAAUUUCAUGUCUGAACAUCACUUGCCUCUUUCAGCCCAGGCCAAUGCACUUCUAUUGAAGUAGAACCCUUAAGACAGAUGAAUGCUUGUAGUUUGUCAAAGAUAUUUCUGAAUUCAGAAUCCCUCAGGCUAGAAGCCCCCAUAUUUCAAAUAAAUGACUCGAUCUCACAGCCUUGUUCCAUCAUUUCAGGAAAUUCAGGAAAACAGUUACAGUAACAAAAAUGACUCAAACUUUAGAUGUCACAGAAGACAAUACAAUACCAACUGUGUAUUUUAGCUUCCUGUGUAAGAUGGUUCAUUAGAUUCAUCACUAGGAGAUGGCUCAGAGAUAAUGUCAGUUCCACUGUUUUUUUGCUCAAAUACACUCCAGGAAAUCAAACUAGGCCUAAUGGGUUAAUUUGUCUCCUCAAUUGAGUGUCCUGGUUCCUUCCACAGAUGGCUGCAUGCUUUAAUGCAGUUUCUGGAAUUCAGAUGUUCUUUACAAAGUUAUCGUGUUGAAAAGAUCCAUAGACACUACCACUAUUUUGUAAAUACAAGGUUCUAAACUGUACUUCACAAUCUAUUGAAUCCACUAAUGGUUUGUGGUUCACAUGUUACAAUUUAUUAUCUAUUAACAAGUGAACAUUGUGAGGUGCACUCCCAACCGCACAAUAAUUAGCAUUAUGUUAUCAUUUUAAAAUAACCACCAUAUUUUUUUGAACAGGAAUAAUAGAAAAAAAUCAUUUAACUAUUUGGAUGCUGAAGGAUAUAAAAGCUCUAUCAACAGAAGGUACAAACGUACAAAGCAAAGUGUUGGCAUAUCCGUGGAUGCCAAAGAGUGUGUGUGUGUGUGUGUGCGCACGCGCGCGCACACACACACACACACACACACACAAACACAAACAACUGGAUGCUAUACAUAAAACUGUGACCAUGGACAGCAUGUGGCCAUGGACUGCAUUUAGGCUCCAUGUUUAGUUCAUCAGCUCCCAUUAUGAAAUCCAGAGAAGCCCAGAUUUCAUUUACAAAUCUUAAGGUUGAAGCUGUAUGUUUGAAAAUGUAAAAGAGACUCCCACAUGUACCUCGGAUUUUGUCUGAUGGUAUGAAGCAAACUUCACAUCUCAAUUGCUGGCCAGUAGCGGGGAGGGGGAGCAGCCAAGUGCCCCCUCAGCUCACCUUUAAGGUGAGCAAAUGAUGAAAAGCAUGGAUCAAUAAAGUGUGAUCCAGUACACUGAGGGAGAGUGGCAUAUCUCCUCAAGUUACAGCAGCAACAGUCCAUGUGGUGCCUUGAGAUGCUUUGCACUCUUGACUCCCACUGUCCAUGACCAGCGCUUUCCCCUAGAAUAGGUGUCAGUGCUCACCAUGAAGUUGUUACAGUAAGCGCCACUCUUUUUAACAAAAAGAGGUGCUGGUACUGUGUACUGUUGAGUACUCCCUGGGAAAAAGUACUGUCUAUUACCAGUGGCCAUGCUGGCUAAAGCUUAUGGGAGAUGGAGUCCACAGCAUUUGAGGUGAAACCUCUUGGCUACCAGUGAGUUACAGAGUACUUGUGCGGUUGUGGAGAAUGUUAGUUAUUCAAUGCUUGUCGCAGAUCUUUACUGAUUAAUAAAGUUGCAAGUAUGACUUAAUUUAUAUCUGGAGUUUUUUGUAUUCUUAUAACAUUCUAUUGUAUUUAAAAAUAAUAAAUUCACUGAAUUAAAAAAUAAUAGUGUAAAGUUAAGGACCUUGCAUCCAAAUACUGGCAGAUGUCUUCAUUCAGGGCAGGUGGGGGGAGAAGGUGGCAAUGAGGAAGCACCAACCUCUAAUGCAGGGGUAGCCAACAUGGUAGCCCUUCUUUUUGGCAGUGAUUGUAUUUUAUUAGGCCUGUGUGUGUCAUUUUACAUCCUGGUUCCAGAACCCUAAAAUCAUUGCACAGCCUAUUCCUUGGUGAGGAGGCUGCAUACUAGCUAUGUUUCGGGAACAAGCAGUCAAAUGAAAGGCUACAAAAAGUGGAAAGUGGGACCACAAACCUGCCACCAAAGCCCAAAACGCAAAUGGGGACACACACACAGUCUAGGUUGGCUUCGCCCCUAACCUCCAUUCAUUGGUCAGAAAAUGUGUGCCUACAAACGUACCUGUAAGUUCUGAACUCCCAGUCAUUUGGCAAAGUACUGAUUGUUUGUUUGUUUGUUUGGACUAGAGCCUGGGUCAUAUGUAUAGAGGUCCCUAUGCAUAAGUUCCAAUCAACAUAGUCUCAUUUCAUACCUCUAUACUUUUUGAGCCAUCUGCACAGGGCUUUCAUGACAUGAGUUAAAGAAGAUAUCUUUCUUUUAAAAGCCAAACACUACAAGGAAGGCCCCGUCCCCUGCAUGUACACAAACAAAGAAAGAGAGAGACACUUGUUUUAUCUUGCCGCCACCCUUUUUUCUGUACACAUGGCUGCUGGAAAGUUUUGACAAGGUAUAUUUGUUUUUUUGUUAGCAUUCAUAAAAGGUGUGAAUAAGAUUCUAAACUUUUUAGUACAAAGCAAAUCCAAACAAAGAGAACACUCAAAUUAAAGCUCUUUCAUUUUUUUCUCCAAGACACAGCAGCCUUUUCUAAGCUUUAUUAGAAAAUUAUCAUGCCAGCUGUCUCUUUUCCUUGACUGUUAUUCACACAAUAUGCCUCUCUCUUGUUUCUUUUCAGCUUUGUACAUGUAUAAUAAUGAGUUUUUCUAGAAUGGAAAACCCAGUGGAAUAUUAAAAUUGCAAAGAGCAGUUCUUCAAGUUAAUUUCACCAAAGUGCAUCACAACACAAUACAACAUUGUAAGAAUGAAUAUCUAAUAGGGCCUCAUUCAUGGAAAUUAAUUAAAAAAUGUUAUUCUGAAUAUAGCUUUUCAUAUAUGUACCAUUGUCUAUUGGCAAUAUUUUUAAGAAGUUAAACAUUUAUGAAAAUAAAUUGUUCAAGACCUAUUUAAUGGAUUAUGUUAUGAACAGCGAGCUACCCUUUAUUUUUAGGAAUUAAAACUGUGGAUUUGGUUGAUAGAUGUGUAUACUAUUAUGAUUCUUCAGGAAAAAAGAAGGAUAUUUUUAGUCAAGCUGUAGCUUUAUUUAGAACAAAUUAGAUGAUCAGCACCACUGUUGUGCCUUUGGGCCAAACUAAUUGUAGCACGUCUUACAUGUUUAGCUCAUUAUUGCUUAACCAACGGCAGUGGGGGUGAGGAGGAAUCCACAUGAGGACUGCAGUGUUGAGGCUAAACCCCUUCCUCCCCUGCUUAUUUAAUUUAUAUGCAGAAUUCAUCAUGCGAAAGGCUGGGCUGGAUGAAUCCCAAGCCGGAAUUAAGAUCGCUGGAAGAAAUAUCAACAACCUCAGAUAUGCAGGUGACACAACCUUGAUGGCAGAAAGUGAGGAGGAACUAAAGAACCUUUUAAUGAGGGUGAAAGAGGAGAGCACAAAAUAUGGUCUGAAGCUCAACAUCAAAAAAACGAAGAUCAUGGCCACUGGUCCCAUCACCUCCUGGCAAAUAGAAGGGGAAGAAAUGGAGACAGUGAGAGAUUUUACUUUCUUGGGCUCCAUGAUCACUGCAGAUGGUGACAGCAGUCACGAAAUUAAAAGACGCCUGCUCCUUAGGAGAAAGGCGAUGGCAAACCUAGACAGGAUCAUUAAAAGCAGAGACAUCACCUUACCAACAAAGGUCCGUGUAGUGAAAGCUAUGGUUUUCCCAGUAGUGAUGUAUGGAAGUGAGAGCUGGACCAUAAAGAAGGCUGAUUGCCGAAGAAUUGAUGCUUUUGAAUUAUGGUGCUGGAGGAGACUCUUGAGAGUCCCAUGGACUGCAAGAAGAUCAAACGUAUCCAUUCUUAAGGAAAUCAGCCCUGAGUGCUCACUGGAAGGACAGAUCCUGAAGCUGAGGCUCCAAUACUUUGGCCACCUCAUGAGAAGAGAAGACUCCCUGGAAAAGACCCUGAUGCUGGGAAAGAUGGAGGGCACAAGGAGAAGGGAAUGACAGAGGACGAGAUGGUUGGACAGAGUUCUCAAGGCUACAAACAUGAGUCUGACCAAACUGCGGGAGGCAGUGGAAGACAGGAGUGCCUGGCAUGCUCUGGUCCAUGGGGUCACGAAGAGUCGGACACGACUAAACGACUAAACAACAACAACAACCACCAGCCAGCUGCUUUUUUUUGUUAAGAAUGAACAAAACUAAGCACAGAUGAAGAAACACAUUACUGUGUUGGUUCAUAUGAUAUGCAGAAGCCAAACUUCAGUUUAGUCAGAUUGCAUGAAUGUGCAGGCUCCUGAAAAGGAGCUUAUACCUACCUUGCUCCUCCCUGGUCCUUUUUUGCCUGCCAUGCUAAACCAAGUCAAGGAUUGGCUUAACAAGUCAUCUGAAGCUCCAUUGGCCAUUGGCUCUAGUUCUCCCUACUGUCAAUCCCUCUGCCUUUUACUGUAACAGUCCCAAUAGGCAGCAGCCUCUACAAGCCUCCGUGGUAAUAAAAAGUAGCUGCCACGUGACUAAGUUAGUGUUUCAAGGGCCCCUUAACCAAUCAAGAAGGGGUUAAACAAAUGUAUACUAUAUGAACAGAUACAAUAACAGAACAAGGAAGAGACUGGUAGUGCAACAACACAUGGAUGGCCGCAGGUUCUCUCAUCCUGAUCUAAUCCAUGCAUAGGGGCAUGUAUGACAUUGAUAUUGCAGCAUUCAGAGUGCAGAGUAUAAAAAGCAAAAUGUUUAAAUAAUAAAUACAGCAUAAUUCAGAUCACUACAUCUCAAGCAUGCUAAAUAAGAUCAUACUGUACAAUUAACAGCCCUAUUUUGUGUACACCGUCACUGGUAUACACCAAAAGCUUAAGAAAACAAACUCAACAUGCAUCUGGCAGGCACACCAGAAAAUAGUCACUGAGUGGAUCUCAAAUGCCUUCUUAAUAAGCCAGUGCUUUGGGGGCAAUACUUUCUGGAUUAUUUUGAAAGUAACAGCUAAAACAGCUGAGUAUAUGGGCAAUUCCCUUUGCUAAACUAAAUGGGGUGGGGGUGGGGAACCUUAGUUGAUCUUUAAAUGGUAUGGCAGGUUCAGGGUGGGAGUAGUUACAAACACGAGCAAAUGUUACAAAGGUCUGAUUCACAUAUAACACUAAAUCAAACCAUGACUUAGUGCAAAUGUGUUGUGUCUAAAUGUGGGCUCGUGAUUUGUUUGGGGGAAACAAACCAUGAACCCACAUUUGGACAUAACACAAGUAGUAAACCAAGAACUAAUUUUGGUUACAGUUCGUGGUUUGUCUGAAGCAAGCUGUGGUUUGGUUUAAUGCUGCGUGCAAACUGGACCAAAAUUUAUUUGGAUUUUCUCCUAAAAGAGUUAUUCAUUUUUCUAACUGUCAACCAAACUUCUCCAAGGACUAGCAGCACUGCUAUAAAAAAAUCUGCCUUUUCUGAAGCAUGAAAACAUAUGUGCUAAGACAAAUAAGCAAUUACAUAUGUCUUUGGAUAAGUUUAAAAUGCAGUGCUGUUCCAGGACAAAGCAGCAAUAGGAAGAAUGAAAUAGCACUGAAGAAGCCACUACCAUCAUUUGCCCAAGAAUACUGUUGCAUGACACCCCAAUCUCUGAGCAGUUUGUUCCAGGGGUUCCAGGCACUUACCCAGGUUUCAUGUUUCCUUCAGAAUGAGGCACAGUGGAAACUGUGGUGUAUUUAUGAUAUAUGGUUUACUUACACAUAUAUAUAACCUGAACCUACAAUGAAGGGGGUGGGCUCACAACAUUAAUACCCCAAGAGUGCCUUGCUUCCCUAGUAGCUUUGCUUCCCUGGAUUCAAACAAAAAUCUAUUUUUUUUAAAAUGAUAUUUAUUAAAGUUUCACAAAGAAAGAAUCACAUCAACAUAAAAAGAAAAAUUCAAGAAUAAAAAGAAAAAUACACAAUGCGAAAUACAAAAAGAAAAAAAAGAAAAAACAAUUAAAAACAAUUCCCUCUUUUCAUCACUACUUUUACAUUUACUUGUUUCCCGGACCUCCUCAUACCUCCCUCUUUUGUAUUCCAAUUCAGUUUGUUAGUCCAGCAAUUCCUUUCCCUCCUUUUUAAUCCCAGUCCUUAAUCUUAAUAUUUAAUACAUUAAAUUUUUACCUAUUAAAAACCAAUUUUUCCAUUCUUUUACCCUUUUUAAUCCUAAUCCUUAAUCUUGAUAUAUUUAUAAUUUUAAAGCCUGUACAGCUAGAAGCCACUUAAUUUCAAUCCAGCAUCACUCUAACAUUCAUUAAUUUUGCAAUAUUUCUGUAAGUAAUCUUUGAAUUUCUUCCAAUCUUCUUCCACCGACUCUUCUCCCUGGUCAUGGAUUCUGCCAGUCAUUUCCGCCACAAACAAAAAUCUACAUCACUCUUUCUCUCUCUUCUCCCAGCUUGCUACUUUUCUUCUAGCUCACAUCACUUCACUAUCUGCUCACAACUCUGGCUUUUUACGUCUAACUACCCACAAGUUGAGGGAGGGGGCCCCACCCAUUUUCUGUCUUGCACAGAGCUACUUCCUUAAUGGCCCAUCACCUUACCAGGAACCUAACUCAGCUUUCCCAGUAAUUAGAAGGGCCCCAGGCAUUCGCCCUACCCCCCCCCAAAAAAAACUUGUAACAUUUGAAUGUUCAGUGGUAAAUCUAAUUCUGUAACCCUGCUUUUCAGUUAGGUAUUCUUCAGGUGUUUUUACUGGGGAUUCAUUAUUCCCUGCUGCUUUCGUACACGGAUUAGUUAAAUUUGCAGUUUAAUUUCCAUCAUACUCUUAUAGAAUAGUUUCUCUUGUUCUGCUUCCACAAAAAUCAACAAGUUAUUAAAGCCCUACAAGCAAUCAUCUGUACUAAGAGGUUAAAAUGGGUGGCAGUGGGUGAGACCAAAAGAUAUAUAUGCCAUUGCUGACAUUCUCUCGGGAAAUGCCACCAGUUAUGAACUACAAGUUUGGAUUGUCAGCUACGUAGGAACUGCUGAUAUUCUGCCAUUAUGACUUUUGUGCAAAUGAAACUGUGUGGGUGAAAACUGUAUUUAAGCAGAGUGCCUGGGAAUUUGUAAAAUGCAGAGAAAGUUUCCCACUGCAAUUUAACAAUUUAGCAGGUAACUUCAACAAAUAGGAAAGUAAAUCGGAGAGAAAUCAAAGCCAGCCUGUCAAAAGAAAAACUGAGCAAUGAAGUGCUCUACCCACCACCAGGUAAAAUGGGAGACCAGUCCCUCACACCACAUUUUGCUUCUAGGAGGACAAUAGGAUACAACUGUGAUAAAAGAUAAUUUUUCUCCAUUGCAUUCUUUAGCCACAAAACAGGCAAGAUAAGCAACUGGACACAAUAUUGUGCUUGUAUGAUUCUCAUAUACUUAGUGAGAAAUUAUAUUUAACUUGCAGUCAUUUUUUUAACGACACACUUUGAAUGUUACUGUUUUCGUUCAUUGUGAUCUUGAGCUUUCCCUUAUGGACUACAAAAUCCAUUUGCACCAUAUGCCGUUAUAAUUUAUUCCUGUUCUUAUUUUUAGAACUCGGGAAGAUGAGUCAUGCAUAAUCUCAGAUACAUUUCAAAGACAGUGUACAAUAUGUUUUUUAAUAUAUUCUCGCAAUGCUACACAACGUUUGCAAUUCUCAGCACAGCUGGACAUACUAACUCUACAAAUAGGGAUUCCAUCGUGUCAACCUUGUCCAUAUUAAAGCUAUAUGGGAAAAAUCACACUGCUGCCCUUUGGCAAGAAAUGGAUGUUGUUACAGACGCUAUCCCUUACAAACUAAAUAAGCAGGAAAGUAUGAUCUCUCUCAAAGCAGUUUAUCCAUUGUGUGAGAAAACUAGGGUGGCAGUUAUAGGGGGUCACAGGAUGGGGGUGCUGCCAUAUAAUGCAGGGUUCAUAGACAGCCAGGACUCCAGGAUAAUAUAGAUAAUGACUGUGUUGGGAGUAAGGUGGCAGGGAUUAGAAUUUGACUCAAAGAAGGAUACAUUAUGAGAUUGCAGCAGGCUCUCUGUCCAGUUGAGUGGGGGUCUAGAGUGUUCCUGGAGUUGUGUAUUCGGGACAGAUUAGGGAUUCUGCUGGUUUAGCAGCUGCCUCACUAUCCAGUAGUCUCCUGGCCUGAGCCGACAGAGCUGGUCUCAAAGGCAAUGUCGAGGACUCUCAGACUAUUGGUUUCGGGGACUUCAACUUCCAUGCCAGGGUGACCAGCUCUGAGGGGGCUCAGGACUUCAUGGCCACCAUGACAACCAUAGGGCUGUCCCAACGUGUCAUCAACCCAAUUCAGGUAAUACUUUGGACAUUGUUUUCUCAGCUGGGGAGGAAUAUAGUGAUCUGAAAGCGGGGGGAUAUUGACAUCUGUCCCUUGUCAUGGCCAGAUCACUUCCUGUUGAGAUUUAGGCUCUCAGCACUUUUUCUCCUCUGCAGAAGCCCUCCCUGGAACUGGAAAAUCUUGCCCUUUUGGGCAAUCUCCCCUUCUUGGGAGCUUCUUGAGUGGGUGGUUACAGACCAGAUCAAGGGGCUUUUGAAGGAAACAGUUCUACUUCUCCUUUACAACUGCUGAUGUGGCAGUGGAUAUGCUAGACCAUUGUCUUGCCUCACCAAUGAACUGGAUGAGGGGCAAUAAACUGAAGCUGAAUCCAGAUAAGACUGGGAUGCUGUUAGUGAGUGGUUCCCUAGAUUGGAUGGAUGGGAGGUUGCUUGCUCUUGAUAGGGUUACACUCCCUCUGAAGGAGCUUUGGGCUACUUCUGGAUUCUUUGCUGUUACGUGAGGCUCAGGUGACCUCAGUGGUAUAGAGUGCCUUCCAUCAGCUUUGCCUGAUGGCCCAGCUGGGCCCCUAUGUGGACAGAGCUAGCCUAACUUAUGUUGUCUAUGCUCUUAUAACCUCUAGGUUAGAUUACGGCAACACAUUUUACACGAGGCUGCCUCUGAAGAUGAUUCAGAAACUACAACUGAGGUAGAAUUCAGUGGCAAGGUUGCUCACUGGAGCAAGAAAGUUUGAGUCAAAGAACAGCAAUCCAUGGAAUUCAACUUCAUGCUGUUACAAACCUUCUGCCUGCACAAGCAUUUCAGCUUAUCAAAUGGAACAGUCUCCCUCAUCUCCCACUAUGCACUAUUCUGGGGGCUCUCUCAACCUCCCCGAUCCCAUUUUGGGAGGACUGGUGGGGGAGGGGCAGUGGAGAGAGCCCCACUGCAUAUGUGAAAGUCUUUGUGUAGGACUUCCACCCACAGGGUUCCUAGGGUGAAUCUCACACUAUAGGUUUUAUGUGGCUCACCUUUUAUGAGGUCAACAAAUUCACACAGAUCUACUUUUAUCUCUGAGUCAUAUUGUAUUAAUUUCCUUGCUCUCUGAGAUCAUCAGCCAAAGCUCUGAUUCCUAUUCUACCUAGCUCAAAGCAAGAUUUGUGAGGGCUUGGAACAUGCGUAGAAGCAUACUGGAUUUUCCAUAGGCCAUAAUUGCUGAUCUUAUAUAAUUCUAUCUUGUUAAUUUUAUGGUUAUUUCACAUCCUUUAUGUAAUGUUUUAACUGCUUUGGGUCACCAGAUAGGGGAGAGAAAUGGGAUACAAGUUGAAUAGAUGAGAUUUUACUUUUUAAUGUUAAACGUUUAUAAAUCAUAUGAUCAGAGAACUUUCAGGGAUCAGAAAGCACAAUAAUCGAUGCCAACUGCCUGAAGGCCAAAUCUUUUCACAUUGUGCCAUCUAUGUGGAGGUUUUUGUUACAUGUUUUGGGGACCAUGUAUCACAAGGAGACUGCAAAGAGUGACCAAAGAAUAAAGCAAACAAUAAUGCCCAGGAAAGUACAAGUCAAACCACACAAUGACAGAGAAGUCAAGUAAUAGUAAUAUUUAAAAGGUUACUAGUUGGAGAGAGAGAUUCAUGCUAUGACUCAUUUGACUAUUUAUUUGGAAACCAUAAUUUGCAUUAAUACUGAUUUUUUAAAAAAUCCUGAGCAUUUUAAAUAAUCACACUCUUUUCUGAUGUAUCCUCUCUAAAGAUAUCAAUUCUUUCCAGGAUGAGCCCUGAAGAAUUUGAGAUGUUUCCUUCACAUCUCAACAUCUGCCUACACAGCUGUCAUAUUAUACUUUUUCUAGUAACAGCUGCAUGUCACAGCUGUGUUGAAAAGGGUAGUGAGCACAGAAGGGUAUACACUAUGAACAAUGCUGAAAGCAACAACAGAAUGUGUGAUAUUACUCAUUUACAACCACAGUGAACAUUGUUGAGCCUUUUGUAAUUUGGCUCAACAAGAAUACCACCACUUUACCAGUCCAUUCCUUUUAUUUAUUGAAAGCAUUAAGAGGCAUUUUCAUUUUGAAGUAUUAAAAGCACUGCUUAUAUUUCCUCUCCUGACCCUCAAGUAAAUACUGAGAGAACAAAAGUGCUUUCAGUGUGUGACAGAAAGCCAGAACUUCAAUGGAACUUAGACUUCAAAGUCACUAAAGUGCUUUUGAAAAUGUUAACACUCAUUCCUUGCUAGUUUGAAUUAGACACUCAUUGUUCUAGACCAAAUGGAGCUAUAACAGUUAUUCAUUGUAAGUCUCUCUCCUCGUUUUAAUAGAAAUCCUUCCUUUGCUGGGAUAAAAAUAAAUCUUCAUAGGAAAACCAAUCAAAUGUGACAAUGCUAUCUGAUUUUUCAUAAUUACAUAUAAACUCUAUAUUUGAAGUUAUAGUAGUAAAGUAAAAUUGGCUCAUAUGUGUCCUCAAUGUAUCAGUUUAAACUUAUUACAAACUGAGUGGUUUUUCCAACUAAAGGGAAGAUUUAGGAUGGCCAGAUUUAACUGUACAACUGAAGAGUCAGAGAUAAAAAUUAAUUUCUGUGGUUACUAUAGUAAUCUACACAACCUGAAGAAAAAGCAGGUCAAAGAUUUUUGCCUUUUGCUACAAGUUUCCAUAAGAUCCAACAUUUCAAAAACAUUAUUCAAACAUUUUUUAUUUAAGUGCCCUCAUAGCCACUCAACUUUAAAAGAAAAUAUUUCACAUAAUUUAUUUAAAACCAUUCACCUUGGAUCUUAGGGAAGCUUGUAGCAAAAAGGCAAAAAUAUUUGACCUGCUUUUCACAAGGUGGUGUAGAGUACUACCACAACCUCUUUAAGAUACUCAAACAGAAAUUAAAUUUUCUAUUUGGCUCAUCAGUUAUACAGUGCCCCUCAAUAGAAAAACCAUUCAGUUUGUAAAGCAAGUAGAUAUAUUAGGAUAUUUGUUUAAUUUCUCACCUGCUUUGGCAACUACAGAAUGCAAAGUUCAGUUUAAGUUCAUGAUGCUUCAGCUCACAGCCUUUAAAAAUGAAAUAAAGUGGUAAUGGUGACAUCAUCAAGGCAUUCUCCCAUACACUUUUAGAGAGUCAAACUAUUGCUAUAGCUGCCUUGCCAAUACAAUUGUCCUGUUCAGCAUUGAUGGAGAGGUUGCUGAUUAUGAUAGAACCCAGGUAGACAAAAUCAUCCAUCACAUCAAGCAUGCAAUCACCAAUUUUGAUGUGUGGAGUGCUGGUGAUGUUCUGACCCAGGAUGUUGGGCUUCAUAAGGCUGAUGGCAAGUCCAAAUUCCCUGCAGACUUGGGCAAAACAGUUGAUGAGUCUCUGUUGGGCUUCCCCAGAGUGCACUGUUAAGGCUGCAUAAUCUACAAACUGUAUCUCUCUGAUAAGGACUCACUACACGUUUGUCCUGCCACAGUUGAACAGACCCCCUGUCACUCCUUGAAUGGAUAUACACCCUGUCUUCAGUCAUGCUGAAGGCAAAUGAGAGCAAUAGGGAGAAGAAUAUGCCAAAGAGUUGGGGUGAGAACCCAUUAUAGAUCUGUCCAUUGAUUAAUGUGGAUACUAAAUUAUUUACAGGCAUACUGGCCAGUAGGCUUUCAAAAACCUUGCCAAACUAUGUCCACCAUGACCUAGUUGGAUUCAUAAAGCAAAGAUCUAAUAGCCUUCCCUAUUAGAAGGGUUAUCAAUACAAUUUUUUGGAGGCAAUAACAUCUAGAACCUACUGUUCUCCUGAUGCUGGACACAGUCAAGGCAUCUGAUCAUUUAAACUGGCAAUAUCUCUUUACAAUUCUAUGUUCCUUUGGUAUUAGUGCAUCCUGGGUUGCUAUGCUGUAUAAUUUAUACUAUGGAACACUGGACCAAGUUCUGGUGAAUGAGGAACACUCUUCGGCAUUUCCCAUUGGCUGGGGGAUCAUCGUUUCCUCUGUUGCUCCACCCCCCACCCCCGGCCAUGGAACCCUUAGUUGAGGUAUUAAAAGCAGAUGGUGAUGUAAAAGGUUUUGAAUUAUUUGGAAAAACUCAUCCAUAUGUUCACAGGUGAUGCUGAGUAUUCCUUUCUGAACCCUCGUUACCUGCUGUUAAUGCACCAACUUGCUAUAGAUGGCAAGGUAUUUGGAUUCACUGUCAACUUCACCCUGCCAAACCUAGAACUACAUUGGCAUGAAACAUCUGGCCUGAAACUUUGUAAUGCCUACUUUUAAUACAUAGGAGUGAAUAUACCUAAGAAUCUAUCCAAACUAGAAAAAUGGAACUUUACUCCCUCGAUAAAAGAUUGAACAACUAAGAUAAAAAAUUGAUCAAAGCUAACACCCUCAUGGUUGGACAGUUUCUAUAACAAAAAUGAUGCAAUUACUACACCUUCUUUACUUAUUCCGAGUCUCACCAAUAAGCAUACCGAUUUCUCAUGUUAAUAAUUGGGGCGGGGGGAUCUACUAAAUUUUAUUCAUGCAAACAAGAGAACUUGGCUACUUCAUAAAACCCUUUAUAGGUUCAAGAAAGAAGGGGGUAUAGCAAUACCUAACCUAAAAUAGUAUAAAGACUCCACUCACACAAUAUUAUUUUGAUUUUACAAGGCUCAACAAGGUCCCAUGGUUUAAAAUGGAGGAUGAUAGAGGUAAAGACUUUAUGGAGUGGGUUAGAAUGGGAAAGAUGGAGUGAAGCUUGGACUCAGAAACUUUUCAAAUGGGAAUGUACCAUCAGUUUGUGGCUAAGUACACAUUUAGAAUAGCACAAUAGAGUGUGGACAACCCACUCUUAUGCAGGUUUAUCUCUGGAUUGGGACAAAUGAAAAUAAGCUACUAAAGUAAGCAUAUUUUAAUAACUCAAUUUUUCUAUGCAUCAUCAGCUCCUGCCUCCCUUAGAGGGCUUAUUAGAUUCAUAUAAGAAAAUUCCUAUCACCUAGCUACUUAAAAGUUGCAUUAAUCAUUUUAAACUCCUCCCAAAUCAUGAGCAGAAGGUCUGUUCUUGUGCAGUAAAUAUAGAUGCUCCCCAUGGGUGUGAAUGUACAGUUAAUAGUGUAUAUAUGCACAAGAAAUACUGCAGACAAAAUUUGGCAAACGUGGACAACAUGUAGUUUGGCAACAUAUAUGAAUGCAGCAAUCUCUUAUGGCUGUGGAAAUUUUAAUGAGCUUAAAGGAGUUUGUCCCACCACAGCCUGUAUUGUCCUUGUUGCCAUAAAACAGAAUUUCACAACAUGCCUGAUGAGAUCCAGAACUUUAUUAGCAAGAAGGUAUUUAACAUAAGUUUCCUCUAAACGGCUAGGUAAUUUCCUUAUUAAUGGUUGAAUUAGCUCUAUUUGGGUAUCACAAUACAAAGGGCAGUAUAGAACAAUGUGCCCAAUGAAUUCAAUCUCAUUAGACAGGCAUAGGCAAACUCAGCUCUCUAGAUGUUAUGGGACUACAACUCCUAUCAUCCCUAGCUAACAGGACCAGUGGUCAGGGAUAAUGGGAAUUGUAGUCUCAAAACAUCUGGAGGGCUGAGAUUGCCUAUGCCUGUCAUUAGAGUUGCAUGGGCAUAAUCUUUGUUCAACUGGGAUGUCAUGAUAUCUGCCCUCUAAUAGAGCUGAAGGGAGAACAUUAAAAUGGGCUCUGGGGAAUGCCAAUAUUUAGGGUUGGGGAAGAAUGUAAGAUAUUUUCUAUUGUUGUUUUGAACUGCUGGUUUCAGAAUGAAAUUGUUUAAAUUGAAUUGUGUUUGUGUUUUAUGAUCUUGAUUAUCUAUUGUAAACUAAAAUUGAGCACCUCCUGGCAGCAAAUCAGUCCAUGAGUGAAUUAUCUUGCCUGCACCCACCACAGAAUGGACGGAAUAAGCCAAGCACUGUGAAACAGCCAUGGAGAAUGCUUCAGAAAAUGUCACAUUUGAUUUGGUAACCCAUUAGUGAUUGUGGGGAUAACACUUUCUGUAAUGUGAUAACACCAUUGAAAUCUAGAUCAACAUAAACAGAGAUGAUGUAAAAGUGAGUGAGAAUUCUGUUGUCUCGUGGAACUAGAUAUUAAUUAUGAGACAAAUAUGGUCUGGCUUCAUUCCUGGAAAACUUUGCACUUGUCUCAGAGCUACUCUCAGCCAGUUCCAGUUCUCCUAUACUAUUAAAGUUUUUGAAUAGUCUCUUGAGCAUUAUAUUUUUAUUGUUAAAUCUUUGUAGUACCCUCAGUCUGAAUAUAUAUGAAAGCAAAGCAUGUGUAUUUUUCAUUUUUUUUACAUAUAGAAAAAAUGCCUCAUAAAAUAUCAUUACCAGCAUUAGUAUACCCUCAAUUUUCUGUAAUAAGAAUGUAUCCUUUCUUCUCAUUUCUGCUCACAUGAAAUCUGUACUAUCCUAAAUAGAAAAAUAGAAGACUUCACAGCUAAAAGAGAUAAUAAUUUCUGCUUAAAAACUUGACUGUGAUCCCUGAUUUGAUUUUUCUAGAAUUUUAGCCCAUCCAGUCUCAGAAGCUGAGAGUUUGUUGCAAUGAAUCCAAGCACACCUACCCACCCACCACUAAAUGGAAAAUAUGGAAUGUUAAAAUCCCCCCUUUUUUUCCUUCUUCUUCUUGUUCUUGCUUACUUUCGCCCGUGUCACUCCUCUCAUUCUUUGUUCAAUUGUGGAUAUGCUCACAGCUUAAUUUAAAAAAAAAAUAAAAAUCCACACUUUUUCUCUGUAUGCUGCAUCAGGACUAGAGAAUAUAAUUUGAGCUCAUGGCUAUUCUUUAUUAAGCACUUUACUAGGUCAAACCAAAUAAUGAUCAUCAUAUCAUAAACAUGCAACAAAACAUAGACAUGUUCAAUUAGGAGCCUUUGCUGAAUUGGCAAAUAAACAAUAGAAGAGAAACAUUUCUCUCCCGUUAAAGUAAAUUACAUCCCUAGUGGAUUCUCAAGGCUAACUAUUGUCUGAAUAGCUCCUUCCCAGUAGGUCCUCUCAUUUCCGUCUACAGCACAGUGGUUUUUAGACUGUUAAAUACAUAGGGACACUGAGUGUUUUGCUCACAUUCAUGUCAAUUAAAGAUGCUGGUGAAGGUCAGUGGCUUCAGGGCCGAGUGAGGAGUUGGGGGGGGGGCUUACUAAUAUUUACCUCAAAGCAGAAGCCAGCAUUAGAAAACAGUCAGUUCUUUCAGCUCAGAUUAAAAUAGGAGCCAAAGAAGAUUAUGGGCUGAAGUGCUACACUGAAGAGCUGUCCUUGCUAAAAGUGCUGUUGGAUGGGCGAGCAGAAACUCACCUUCUGUUGUUGUUUUUUUUAAAUGAUAUUUAUUAAAGUUUCAAAAAAAAUACAAAAAAUACAGAAUACAGAAAGAAAAAGAAUAAAGUUUUUUUAAAAAAAUAUAACCAAAGAAGUAAAAAAUAAAAGAAAACAUACCAAAUAAAACAAUUAAAAGGACAUUAAAUUUCCAUAACCUAUCUUCCUUAUACUUAUUUCCCCGGACCUCCUCAUACCUCCCUUUUUUGUAUUCCAGUUCAAUUUGUUGAUUCAGCAAAUCCUUACCAUUAAAAUUACCCAGUUGCAAACCUUUUUUCAUAUCUCUUAAAGCAUUACAGCUAAAAAAACCCUCAGUUUCUAUCCAACAUCCUUCUAAGAUUCCUUAGAGAAGCUCACCUUCUGAAGCAGGAGUGUGGUGUUCUUUUGCCCCAGAGUAGCAACUUUGCAGGCUGCAACUCUUCAAAGAAAGAACAAAACUACGAAAAGCAAUAAGAAACAUUUGCCUUGGUGACUGCUUUGAUGGGGAAAGUUUACUGAGAAUGGCUCAGAAAUGACCGCUUAUAAAUAAGUCCUAAUAAUUUCAUGAGGUUUACUCACUUGUAGAAGACACCAGGAUUGCAACUUUAGACCCUCUAAAGCUCUGAUCAAGUAUCCAUAUUCAUCAUCACAAGGCCUAUUUGUUUAGUCAAACCUUUGGCUAAACAAUGUGCUCUGACUUGUUUAAAAAUAUUCAUUUAGUCUGAUUUUUACUGGAUUCAUUUGUUGUGGCUAUAGAAAUUCAGAGUGAUGAUCUAUAUCACAAUUUGACAAUAAUACAUUGACGAUAUAAGGAAGGAGCACAAUUACACCAAUAUCAGGGUCUGCACCCCAUAUUAUGUGUUUGUAACGGACGUUUGCUAUUAUGAGCAAUUGUGAAAAGAACUCAAAUGGCCAAACCCAGACUAAGACAUUUACAGAACAGGUGAAUAACACACUUGCAGUGCAUUCAGGAAAGUAUGAAAAUCAAAUAACCAGAAAAUACUCUGAUCUAAGUGUGGCCCAUGGUUACCAGUGGAUGAUGCUGCUAUAUAGGAAAAGAUGUAAAGAGGUUCCUUAAAUUACAUAAGAAAGCUUCUGUGUAUCUGAAUCCAUAAGCAAGCUAAGCUCUUUGCUUUCAGAAUGGUUAAAAGAGCAAAUCACAAAGUCACAGAUACAAAUUUAAUGUGACAUUUGCAGGACAUGAACUUCUGUCAUAUUACUAUCUUAUUUUCAAAUAUAAAUUGAUGAGGCAAGCAGUCUUUCCUUGUGGUUAUUUUUUUCAUUCUAUACAGGGAAAGAAAGAAUAGUAAAGUGUUUCCAAGAAGUGUUAAACCCAGUACUAACCUCAUUUACUUACAACAGAAGACUUAACAUUGAAUGUGUGUAAGAGAGAACUGGAGGAAUAGGGGCAAGAGGCCACAAUCACAUUGUAAAGCAGAUGCAAAUGCUUCAGAGGAUGAAAAGUUAAAUCAUUGAUUCAGAAACAGUGUGGUGAAGCCAGAGCAAAAGGAACUUCCCUCGUUUAAAAAUGAAGCAAAGGAAUUUGUGCCUUUGGCUGUAUGAUACAAGAAACAGGUAGGCUGGCUGAAAAUAUGGGUGCUGGAGAAAUAAUCAAUCAUGGCUUGAAACACAGGGGCAGUGACUACACUCCAUCUUCCCUAAAUGGUGAACCUGAAGGUAGGAGAUCCAUAGCUUCCUAAAGGUCUCAAAAGCAAGUCAAGAUUUUUCAUAAAAAGUUUGACAUCUGGUCGCAUGGGAACAAACUGCAAGAUCAGUGGCUGGGUGUCAUAUCGUUCUCUUGAAAGCAAAUGAGGAGGGGCGAUGUGGAUCAUGGCCAUGGUGCAGGGGUUUGAGAGUGAAAUGAUUUCCAUCCUUUCCCUCACAGACAUUGUCCCAUUCCUGGAACUGUUCUUAACCAAAGAGAUGAAAACACACAGGCACCAUACAAGAAAGCAAUAUAGUCAGCAGAGAAAAUGAAACAAUACCAACCCAAAGCUUGCUGGAAAAGCAAAGUCUCACAUUCCCUUCUGAAUCCCGGCAGGGAUAUUAAUCUAUGUAGCUGUGCGGAAGGCUCCACAGUUUAGGGGUCACUACCAUAAAGACUCUUGUUCUAGCUGCUACCAGCCUUACUUGAUGCAAAGAUGGAGCAGCAAGCAAUGCCAGUUGCCCACAUCUCAAGUGGUCCAUGGACCUGCAGUUUUUAAUAAAAUAAAAUAAAAUAAAAUAAAAUAAUGACACGGAUCUAUACAGUGGCGGAGCUUCAUGCUCCGGCACCGGGGGCGGAGAGCAGGCGGGGGCGUGGCACGAGUCCCGGCGGCAUGGCGCACCGUCCUGGGGGUGUGGCACACCACCUGUGGGGCAUGGCGCCCAGCACGGGAGGGGGCAGCCACAAUGGCACCCCACCGGGAUCGUGGUGCUGGGGGCGGUGCGCUCCCCCCGCCCCACUCUUCCUCCGCCAGUGGAUCUAUAGCAAUAAGUUUAUUCAUUUUAUGCUACUUCUUUAUAUUGAAGUAAUAUUCAGAUGGAGAGGCACUGUACAAUAACUGCUUGCCAAGUGGCCACCUCUAUCCUGUAAUUUUUUUCAGUUUCUAAAUCAAUUGGUCAAAGGACUAGUGCACGUUGUGGAGAUUGCAUCAGUGGUGAACUGGCUCAGCAUGGGAUUUCAUCAAGGCAUUUCAUCCAUACAACAAGAGCCUUCCUGCCCACCUGCAAACAGGAAAGCAAUAGCAGGUUAUAGAAAAUCCCCCCCAUCCAAGUCAUGAGCCACUUUACAGAACUAGCCCACCGUCUAGUAACUGCUGUCCCAUGGGGCAAUUUUGAAAUGCUAUCUAUGUAGCAGAUAUACAAAGCUGCAACUCUGUAUACCUGAAGGAGCAUCUCCAUCAUUCAGCCUGGACACUGAGGUCCAGCUCCAAAUGCCUUGGGCAGUUCCCUCACUGUGAGAAGUGAAAUUACAGGGAACCAGGCAGAGGGCCUUCUCGGUUGUGGCACCCACCCUAUGGAAUGCCUUCCCAUCAGAUGUCAAGGAGAUUAAAAAGCAUCCCUUCAGAUGUCUUCAGAAAGUUGUUUAAGUUUGAUGUUUUGCUGUGAUUUUAUUCUGUUGGAAACCACCCAGAGCGGCUGGGGCAACCCAGUCAGAUGGGAGGAGAAGGAGGAGGAAGAGGAGGAGGAGGAGGAUAUGUUGGCAUUAUUUGAGGUGUUGGCAGCUUAUAAUUAAAAAUAUUUUUUUUCCUCUUCCAGUUUAGUAUUUCUGUUCCUCCUCCUCCUUUCUUCUUCACUUUUUUGUCAGAGCACUAGCAUAGAUUUGUGUAUUUUGUUUUACUCUCCCAAGCAAGUCAUUAUUUCCCUGCACACCGUGACUGUUCUCUAGUAUGUAAAGCCUAUAGUUCUUCAGUUGAGCAGUAGAAAUGACUCAUUUGCUUGUAUACAGAAUAUAUCACAAUUGCAAUUUUAUAUCAAAUUAAAUUGCUUAUAAAUAUUAAGAUGAUUAAUAUGCAGUGUUUGCAUAAAGUAGGUCCCAUGUUGCUGGAUUUUCUGAGCCAGCCUCACUCAUAUGCUGGGUAAUUAUAUAGAUUUUUUUAUUGUUGUUGAGGAAGUAAAAUGUAUGCAGGAAUUUUUGAGAAAUAGUGGCCUUGGGGAUUGCAUGAACAAUGGAUCAGAUUCUCUUGUUCUUGUAAAGUUUAAAAUCCACAUUUCAGACGCUUUAAUUGGGGAGAGGAGGAUUUUAGUACACAGCAGUUCUAGCUCUCAGCAAUAUUGUCCACUGAGAGCAAUGCACUUGGUGCUACGUCCACCACACCUGAACUACAUUGAUCUAAUGCUUCUCACUACAGGCGUGCUUUAGGACUAUCUCCCAUCAAAGAAUGCAUGCAGGAUUUUAAAAUAUUAAGAAAAAAGAUCUAUAUAAGAGACUAUAUUUUGCUGGCUCCUCAUCAUGGAUUUUUGCUAACUUUUAGAUGGUUUUUCAGCCACCCAUGUAAAUGUUUUAGUCUGUGCUACUAUAUAAUCUUGAUUACAGUGGUACCUCAGGUUAAGUACUUAAUUCGUUCCGGAGGUCCCUUCUUAACCUGAAACUGUUCUUAACCUGAAGCGCCACUUUAGCUAAUAGGGCCUCCUGCUGCUGCUGCGCCGCCGGAGCACGAUUUCUGUUCUCAUCCUGAAGCAAAGUUCUUAACCCGAGGUACUAUUUCUGUAACCUGAAGCGUAUAUAACCUGAAACGUAUGUAACCUGAGGUACCAUUGUAUUCCUGUUUUUUAUUAGGGUGAUUUGUUUUAAAAUACUACACCUUGCUUUUCCAGCAACUGAAGUCCAGAGUUGUCUACCAGCAAAUACUAUUUUGAUUUAUUUAUUUCAUACAAAUCAUAUACUGCUUGAUUGUAAAACAACAACCCUCAGAGCAGUUUAUUAAAACAUAGUCAAAAUAAAACACAUGCAAUUAAACAAUAACUAGAAUAAUGAAAGCAUAAAACAAGCAAAGCAUCAGCUAAAUAAGCAGUGAAAUAAAUAAUAAUAAUAAUAAUAAUAAUAAUAAUAAUAAUAGAAUAUCAUACCUGCCAAGUGCCCAAUUUUUCACACAAGAGUGUGGUAGCCAUUUUGGGUGCCACGAUCUCACAUGCUCAUGCUCAUGUGCUGCGCUCUGACCCUGAAAAAAGCACUUUUGGGUGGCCGCAAUCUCAUGCAGCACCCCAAAAUGCUUGUUUGGGGGCACCAUGUAAGAUUGUGUCCUGAAAAAAGCAUUUUAAGGGGAGGGGCAAGAGUCUGGUGCAGGUCAUGUGACUCUCCCGGAAGCAUGUCCAGAAGAUAUGCAUCUUGGUUUUCAAUCAGAAAAAAUGGAUGGUAUGGAAUAUUACGUAUCAACAAAGGCUUGGUGCUCUGUGCAUACAAGCAUAACAUAUCCUCUGGCAUCAACCCAAAUCUACUCCCCCAGCGUAAUGCAGAAGCACUCCUGCCUGCCAUUGCACUGCAAUGCAACAAAGGCUGGCCUCACAAGACUAUGAGCAGGAAACCUGUAAGCUUGCUCAGUCUGCUGUCCAAGUGUUGGUGAUGGGCAACCUCAAGGCCUCUGCUCUCCAUUAUUAUGGUUCUUUAAACAUAACCAUGGACCUGAUAACCUAAACAGAGGACAGCUCGCUGUACAGUAAGGCACAUGGCAGCCCUGUCUCCAGUGACCUAGACUUUCACCACAGUUAAAGGCAUGGAGUAGUCAGGCCCUUGCAGCUGUGGAGGCAGUAGGUAGGCAGAAGCAGGUAGCUGAGCCAACCUACAGUUGCUUGAGGCCCAGUGUCACAAGUCCAUGGCCAUGGUAUUUUCAAGAGCCAUUUUGAACCUGGCUAAACUUCCUCUCUGGCGCAUGAUUACAGGCUCCCCAACCUCACUUAGUCACAAGUCACUGAUGGACACCAGGAGUGAUCACCACACCCAGACUGAGCCAUAACAUCUUCAGGACCCAUGCACAAAAAGAAGGAUUCUGGCCCCCAAAUAAGGCUGUUAAAGUGAACAGCGGAGAUUUUUAUCAUUUUAUUAUUUCACAACAUUUAUAUACUGCUUGACUGUAGUAAAAUCUCAAAGCAGUUUACAAAAAGAAUACAGUGGUACCUCAGGUUACAGACGCUUCAGGUUACAGACUCCGUUAACCCAGAAAUAGUACCCCGGGUUAAGAACUUUGCUUCAGGAUGAGAACAGAAAUCGCAUGGCGGCAGCAGGAGGCCCCAUUAGCUAAAGUGGUACCUCAGGUUAAGAACAGUUUCAGGUUAAGAACAGACCUCCAGAACGAAUUAAGUUCUUAACCCGAGGUACCACUGUAAAACUAUCAGUUUAAAAAAAGAGAGUUAAAAACAAAUGUUGGAUUAGAGAAUUAGAACAUCAUUGUCAAGUUCUAGAAUCCCUGCCAAAAAUUCAAUUGCUAUCAAUCUGCACAGUGAAUAUGGGGACAGACUGAGGGAAGCACCAGGACAAUUAUAUUUGAGUGCUACUUAGAAGAACAGUUGCUUAAGAAGGUAAGUGAUAAAGACAAAAGCAGCUUUUAGAAAUUUCCCAAGCAUAUGAUUCAUGCUACAAGGCAGGAUGUGAAACUGAUAUUUGUGAAAACGAUGGUGUGUUCUCUGUAUCUUGCCUUCACUUACCCUGAGACUUUUCUAGUCUUAAUGCACAUUUCUGUAAUCUUAAGGGGGGUGCCCUUGUUAACUAGGGAUGUGCUGCAAUGUUACUGCAGAGAAUGUCCUUAUUUCAUGCUCCAGUGGGAAGCUAAUGGAAGGCUUGAGUAGACAAUGUUUCCUUGAACAUAUAUGAUCUCCCCUUUUGUAUAUUCAUGGGCACUGGGCUCUGCACUCACUGUUGCCAACUGCAAUUACUAGCAAAAUAGUAUUUUUAACCUACUCAUACAGUUCCUAUUAUUUCAGCUAUUCAUUCAUAUCUAUUUGGAAGGCACAAAUUAUAUGCAGGGAGCAUUGUGGGUUUUUUUGUUCAGUAUCCCAGCUUAUACUUAUUAUAAAUCAUGCCUUGUGCAACUUAAUGGAUGUGAAGAAUAUGAAGGAAGAGGGCUCUGAAAAUGUUUUGUUCGUCAUACGUAGUCUAUAUACAUUUACACACACGUGAGCACAGUACUCACACAUUUCUUUCAUGAAUAAACACCACUCACAUUCUUCAUGCAAACACAUACCAUUUUGACAUUGAUAUUCACUCAUGCUCCUUAGCUCUCAUAUACAUAUGUUGCACAAACCACUGCCUAUCUCCUUUAAAGCCAUGCCAUACCUGGUCAUGGCCCACUCAAAUCAUUUGCCCUGUUUCUUAUAGGUCCUGCCCAAAGGCAAGUGGGCAGGCAGUGGGCAGACCUUGCUAUGGAAGACUCAGUUGCUGCAUUCCCUCUAGACAAAUGGGCUGCUCUACAGGUUCAUCACCUACCUGAUAGCAAUCAUCCCAACUUUUGGUGGGUAAAGCAUUGAGUUGCAUAUUUAGCUUACUAGGUACCCUGCUAAAGGGAUCCUGGAAGCGGUGUCUCAGUCUGGGAGUCCACACAGGGGCUGAUAGCACCCUACCAAGUAGCAACCCUGCUGGGCGCACCCCAAUGUGAUGCAUCACAGGGUGACCCUCUACCCAGGGUUGACCUAACCUCUUAUCAGUCAGCAGGUGGGCUGACUGACACACCUUCCUCUAAGCCUACUUACAUCUGUAAUCAAUAAAAGUUGUGGCUAUUUCAAUCCAAUAUUGAUUCUGUAUAUUAUUUUUAUCUUGGCUGGCCCCACACUGGACUGCGUACUUCCUGCUCUACGGUCCACAAAAAAAUAUCCAAAUAAAAACAUUGAAGGACCACUGAAUUAAAUGAACUGCAUUCAUCAUUCCAGUCUGUUAACAUUCAUCCACUUUUCCAUUUCCAGAAACCAGCAGGUGAAGUAAUCAUAGUGGUCAGUUCCCCCAGGUAAGAACACUUAAUCAUUCACUUAAAAUAGAAUAUAUGGGCAGGUUCUAGCUAAAGGUCCUGCCCUUUAACCAAGCACAUACUUAACUUUCACAGGGUUGUGUACCUAGGCAUGUGAUUAAAAUGUGAUUAAAAACUGCAACAGUUUAAAAAUUCCUAUUAUCUUUUUCCACUUCACUAUCAGAGGAAGUAACUUUUGCCAACACAUAUCAGUCAUCCCAGAAAUUUGGCAGUGAUUCUUUUAUGAAUCCCUCUUAUUUAUUAGAGAAAAAUCCCUUAUGUUACCAAAUGCUAAUUAUACAAAUAACCAGUUUUCACAAUUGUAUUUUCCCCCCAAAGAGUUUGGAAAGAAUGAGAGGUAGGAAUGCGUAUUCAACCUGAAGAUGAACAUUACAAUUCUCAUUUUAAUCCUCCCUCCCACUCUUCUUCCUUCCACCCACCUUGCUAGGCUUCUGCUCUAGCAACAGCUGUAAUGGGAAGAAGAGGUCUCAGUUUCCCCUUUUUCAGUCUCUUUCCCUCCCCAGCAGCUGAAAUGCUACUAGGGAGGUAUAUGCCUGGAAUCCUGGGAGAUGCUGUUUCUCCCCAGUGCCUGAGAAAUGUCAAAUGCCUUGCAGAAAUCACAUCUCCCAGGGUUCACUGUGCAUUCUAUUCUAGUAUAUUCCACAUGCUGAGGAAGAAGGGAGUACAGGCCUCUUUGCCCAUUCACUCCAUUGGCUGGUGUGAGCACUGGAGUUGUGGAAGGAAGAAGAGAAAGCCAGAAGACCCCUAUGGUUAAGAAACCCCUCUCCCCCCCUAACACAAUGGUCACUAACUACUAGAUUUCUUCUCACUUUCCCCCACACAAUGAUCUAACCUCCAAUAACAUCUUCUACAGAAUGCAAGUGACAAGGGCAUGCCUACCCACGAAACUGAGGUGACUGCAGUCUACACCCAAAAAUAAACUUUAAAACAGACAAGUUACAGCUAAUCAAAAUUCAGAUGCUGUCACAACAACUCUGCCUGCUCCUGAUCAAUAAAACAUGAAAUACAGCUCUUUACAUUUGCAUUUUAUUUGAUAGAUUUAUAGAAAAGCAAUGCAAACAGUAACCCUCCUGAUGUGAAAGGAAAACAAGUUUACUGACAUCUAUAUAAAUUAACAUUUAAGUUACUCCACAGGAAGCUCUCCGGCACCCAGACCACUACAGGGAGAAAUACUACAGCAGAGUCUAAAAUAAUUUUGUAGUAGAUGUAAUAGAUGUCAAAGCACUGCUUGACUAGAAAGACAAGUCCACGUUUAACAGCCAUUUUGAAGAAUGAAAUAUAAAAAAGGAACACUAGUGACAAUUUUGCCAAGGCCAGAAGCCUGGAACCUGAUGUUAUAUAUAAAGAGUAGAGAGUUAUAAAUUCUCUCUUCGUACAGUUAAUGUCCUAUUAUUUGCUGACUGAUAUAACUAUUGACAAAUGUACACCUGACAAGCUUCUCAGAGAGUUGAAUACCCUGGGCAAGAGAACUGCAGGGCCCUCCUUUGCCUUCCUUGUCAUACUGCAGGUACAGAGGUGACAUUAGUCACUGCCUCCUUCCCCUGAGAGGAAGUUCAGGUGAACAUACGUGGCCCACAGUUGAGCUGGUCAGCUUUCCCAACAGAAAACUGGAUAUUGCCUCAGUGGCCCUCAUGUCAUUGCACGUACCACUGGGGAAAUCUCUCAUUCUCUUACACUUUGCAGAUGCUUCUAGAAUGAGCUCCCGUUUCCUAGUUGUAUGGGUACACAACAGCGGCGUGAGAAGCAAUUUUCACACACUGCUUCUGAAGCACAUAGAAAGCUUAGCCUGGCCACAGCAUGCAGAACAUGGCAGCAGAUCCGCAUCUCCAAGCAGUUGUGAGGCCCCACUAGUCAAUGGGCCUCAGCAUAUGCCUGACUAUGUCACUUGCUAAUACUAGGCUCGUUACAAGAUUGUCACCUGCAGAGAAUAACCAUCACCACUGCUGAUUUGUUCUUUGUUAACACUUACCUCUGAAUUGUCUGGACUUCACCUAGCACUCUCUCCUCAUUAAGAUGCAGAAUGUUUGAAGACUUAACAGGUGUCAAAUAGAUAUUUGCCAGCCACAGCUAUUAUUCUACAGGGACGAGCUGCUGUUUCAUAAAUACUAAUUAGAGUUUUGCACAGGAUCUUUGCUGGAAUACCUAAGGUGAUGAGUGGCCAGUUGUUACUUUAAAAAGAUUAGCGCAAUUUGAAAACUAAUGUCCCCAAUGAGGCAAUGCUCUUGCUGAAUAAUCAAGAGUUAUAGCUAGCCUACCCAAAGAGAGUGCUUGCCUACUUCAUCAUUUAGAAAAUCUGCUGCUUACUGAACAAGUCACUUUUCCGUUUCACUUUGAAAAGUUGCAAAACCUUGUGGAAUCAGGGGAAUGGCAAUGCAUGUGUGUGCAACGCAUAAAAUUUAAUGUAUUAGAGCCUAUGCAGUAAAACUAAUGGUUUGGAAGAGUGGAGACUAGUAUAUGAAGUUAGGGAGCAACAACAAACACUAAAAUGAACAAGGGGGAAGGAGGGAGUGUUGAAACAAGGCGGAAGAACAAGGGAGGGGAAAUGGGAUAAUAUAAGGGAUGCAUAUUGAAAGCAAUUUUUGGAGUUUGGAGAAGGUAUCUGCUAUUCAGAAAUGUUAGUGCCAUUUAGAAUCAAGCCAAAACUUCCUCCAGAGCACAGGUCUAGUAUGCAAUGAGUUCACUGCCAGCCAUCAUUUCCUGUAGAUCUCCUUUCCCAUCAAAGUUAUAUUUUCAGGAAGGCAGACUGGAAGGUAGGCUAGAUUGUGGCAGAAAAGUUAUUGUAGGCCUAUUCUUAAAUCCUAUGUGUUCCUGAAUAUGCUUAGGAGCAUCCUUUGUCACCAGGUUGUAUGGCAGUUGUAGUUUCUAAUACAUCUCAGCCAAAUGGAAGAACCCCGACCAAACCUAAGAGGAGGCAUGUAGUGGUGAUAGGGGAUUCCCUACUGAGGGGAACAGAAGCAGUGAUCUGUGGGCCUGACAAUAUGUCUCGGGAAGUGUGCUGUCUCCCCGGGGCUAAGAUCCAAGAUGUAACUGAACAACUGCAAGGAGUCAUAAAACCCACUGACAAAUACCCCUUCCUCUUGGUUCCUGUGGGAACCAAUGACACUGCAAGCAAUAGCCUCCAGAAGAUCAAAAGAGACUACGAGGCUCUGGGCAGGAAAUUGAAGCAAUUAAUGCACAAAUUGUCAUCUCAUCUGUCCUCCCAGUUGAACGACGUGGCCCAGGGAGAGAGGGGAAAAUAGUGGAAGUGAACAGCUGGCUUCGCAAAUGGUGUAAACAGGAACAGUUUGGAAUCUUAGAUCACGGACUGCAGUUUCUUGAAGAUGGACUUCUGGCAAGCGAUGGGCUGCACCUCACAACAGUUGGGAGGAAUGUUUUUGCCAAAAAUCUCAGAAACCUCAUCAGGAGGGCUUUAAACUGACUAAUGUGGGGAGGGAGACAGUGCUCCUGAAGGUAGGAGUCUAUCAAUUGAUGAAGAUGAUCAUCCAAAUGUCAUAGACCAAAUGGAGCAAACAGCACGCAGACCUAGUGGUGGGAGGAAAAAAUCCUUAAAUAAGAGACACGGGGGAAUGAUUAAUGGACUUCAAUGUCUGUACACUAAUGCGCAAAGCAUAGGAAAUAAACAAGAUGAGCUUGAACUCUUGGUACAGCAAACUAAAUAUGACAUAAUAGGCAUCACUGAAACCUGGUGGGAUAAGUCCCACGACUGGAAUGUAAUAAUGGAGGGAUACAAUCUAUUUCAGAGAAACAGACCAGACAAGAAAGGAGGAGGAGUGGCGUUAUAUGUCAGAGAUGUGCAUAUGUAAUGGAUUUAGGGGUUGCUCGUGCGUAAGUUGCCGCCACUCCUGGCUAGGUUACCUGGUUAAACCCUUUCUGACUGAACAGCCUCUAGCAUCGUGACUGUCUCAGUCGCUGGCAGAAUCCGUCAGUGGGCAUUUCUUAAACUUCUUCCAGCACAAAAGUUCUUUGAUGCCUAGUCUCCGCCUAGACUCCCUGCACGGAAGCCUUCUGCGCAGGGAGGGUGUGGGCAGCGGAGGACCCGUACUCUCACCGCUGGUCUCCGGCGAGGAGUCCUGGAGCCUCCUCUCCGAUUCCCCCAUCUGCCCCCCUUCUCUACUGGUGUUACGCUGAUUUCCUUCCCCAGCGGACGGGCUGCCUCUCUCCCUACUGGGACCCUCUCCGGCAUCCCUCUGGAGCCUUCCCUCUGCCUCUAGCUCCGAUGGCAGUUCCCUGACAGUAUACCUGUGAAGAGAUCCAAGAUUUAGAACCUCAAAGCCAAAGUGAGAGCAUUUGGGUCAAAAUUAAGGGAGAGAAGAAUAACAGUGACCUCAUUGUGGGAGUUUACUAUAGAUCCCCAAGCCAAACGGAGGACAUAGAUGAUGCCUUCCUGGAACAGAUGGCCAAGCAUGCAAAAGGAAGGGAGAUAGUAGUAAUGGGGGACUUCAAUUACCCGGAUAUUUGUUGGAUGUCAAACUCAGCCAAGAGCAUAAGGUCAAACAGAUUCCUCACUGGCCUUGCAGACAACUUCAUUGUCCAGAAAGCGGGAGAAGCAACAAGAGGAACAGCCAUUUUAGAUCUGGUCCUAACCAAUGUUGAUGACCUGGUUAGUGGGGUAGAAGUGGAAGGAUCAUUAGGCGUGAGUGAUCAUGCUCUUCUGAAGUUUACUAUACAGCGGAAAGGAGCCGGCAAGCAUACUAGGACUCAAUUUCUUGACUUUAAGAAAGCCGACUUCAUAAAACUUAGGGAAGUGCUGGGUGAGAUCCCAUGGACAGUAAUACUAAAAGGAAAGGGAGUUCAUGAUGGCUGGGAGUUUGUUAAGAGGGAGAUAGUAAAAGCACAACUUCAGGCAAUACCAAUGAGACGGAAACAUGGAAGGUGCCUAAAGAAGCCAGGGUGGCUAUCUAAAGAACUUUUAACUGAGUUAAGAUUAAAAAAGGAUGUCUACAAAAAAUGAAAAAGGGGGGAAACCACCAAAGAGUAACUCAAACAAAUAGCCAGCACGUGUAGACACAAAGUCAGAAAAGCUAAAGCACAGAAUGAACUCAGGCUUGCUAGAGAGGUUAAAAGCAACAAAAAAGGCUUUUAUGGGUAUGUUCGUAGCAAAAGGAAGAACAAAGAAACAGUGGGGUCACUCAGAGGAGAAGAUGGUGAAAUGCAAACAGGGGACACAGAAAGGGCUGAACUCCUCAAUGCCUUCUUUGCCUCAGUCUUCUCCGAUAAAGAAAACAAUGCCCGACCUGAAGAAUUUGGAGCAAAUGAUUCAGCAGAGGAAACACAGCCCAGAAUAACUAAGGAGAUAGUACAAGAAUACUUGGCUAGUUUAGAUGUAUUCAAGUCUCCAGGGCCAGAUGAACUGCAUCCAAGAGUAUUAAAAGAACUGACAGAUGUGAUCUCAGAACCACUGGCAGUCAUCUUUGAGAAUUCCUGGAGAACAGGCGAAGUCCCAGCAGACUGGAGGAGGACAAAUGUUGUCCCUAUUUUCAAAAAGGGGUAAAAAGAGGACCCAAAUAAUUACCGCCCAGUCAGUAUUCUGGAGCAGAUCAUUAAGCAAACAGUCUGUGAACACCUAGAAAGGAAUGCUGUGAUCACCAAUAGUCAGCAUGGAUUUCUGAAAAAUAAGUCAUGUCAGACUAACCUGGUCUCGUUUUUUGACAGAAUUACAAGCCUGGUAGAUGAAGGGAACGCAGUGGAUGUAGCCUACCUUGAUUUCAGCAAGGCAUUUGACAAGGUGCCCCAUGAUAUUCUUGUAAAGAAGCUGGUAAAAUGUGGUCUUGACUAUGCUACCACUCAGUGGAUUUGUAACUGGCUGACUGACCGAACCCAAAGGGUGCUCAUCAAUGGUUCCUCUUCAUCCUGGAGAAGAGUGACUAGUGGGAUGCCACAGGGUUCUGUCUUUUUUUUUUUUAUAAUUGAUAUUUUAGGAUACAAAAAACAAAAAUAGUGCAUAAACAAAAAAGAAAAGAAAACCCAGCCGCAAAGAAAGAAAAAAAAAGAGAAACAGAAAAACAAAAAUAUAAAGUCCUUUACAAUCUCUAUUGACUUCCUUUCUAGACUUCCUCCUCCGCCCUCUUUUGUUUCUUAAUUUUUAAUUUUUACAGCAAAUCCUUUCUGUUUUUUCAUAACAAUCUGUCAUUACGUUUCCUUAUUCUAUUUUCCCUCUUGUCAUAUAAAAACUUUAAAACUCAUAGCUUAUAUUCAAUAUUUACCAAAUUCUUGCAUCAUUACCUUUUUACUGAAUCAUUUACCAAUCCUUACUUAAGCCAUGUAAUUUCAUUCAACAUCCUUCAAACAUUUGUAAGCAUUCCCAAUAUUAAAAAAUAAAAAGGAAAAAUUAAUAAGUCAAAUUCAGUCCAGUCAGCUUCCAACCUCCCCUCCCCUGGACCCGGGAUUGUCAGUCCUUUUAGCCUCCCUUAACCUGGUUGUCUCGUAUCCGAGGCCCUCAAGUCUCUUUCUUGCCCCUUUCGCCACUCUUGUUGAUGAUUCCUUUCCAGUCGUGGAUGCUCCAGCAAGAAAAUGCUUUUGACCCUUUGCAGCAAGUCCAUCCCAAACCCAUUGCCCAAGCCAGACAGCAAAUAAUACCACUUCAAAUUUCCACAAAGCUUGGAGACUUUGGCUACUCCAAUCCUCUGAUAGCCCAUCACCAGACUCGGAAGGUCCAAAUAACCAUAUGGAGGGGGGGUCGAUCCAUCCCCCCAUUUCCAAAUCUGACCACAUUUCAUCUUUCCGAAUCUGGUUUGUCCCAAGUUCAUUUAUCAAGUUCAAAGGCUGAUCUUGCCCGUCCAAAGGUCCCUCCAUCUCUGAAGCCUCCGUCACUACAGCAGGUUCAUAUGCUUGUAUAGCCUUUAACUGAAUUUCAUUUGUUUGCUGCUGUGCUCUAGUAACUUCCAUCCUCAAGGUCGUCUCCUGACGCAUCUGGUCCAGCUGGGCACUUAGUUUUGAAAAACCUUCCAGGAACAAUUGUUCAAGCCUUUGUACUAGCAUUGUCCUUCAAGGUCAAAGAAAAUUCUUUCCCACGAGAGUAGUCCAAUAGUCCUUCUGCGUUGCAAUUUCACUAAAUUCCACUAGAUGGAAUUUUUUUUUUUUUUUAAAGGAAUAAAAGCAACAGCAACAAUCUUUCUUUUUCCAGAAACACUUUAUCCUAAAUUCCCCCUUCCAAAUUCAAGAGGCAACAGUAGAAUCAAAAUGUUACCCUUCUUUUAACUAACUGUCGAGCUGGAUAAACUUCAGAACGUCAAUUCUGACAGCCCGCUCCUGGUUCAGGGCGGUGGAAAAUUGCUUUAUUUUAAACUCACUUCCGCAGGAUUGAAAAGUCCAAAUACAACCCCCUUUUUCUCCUGCUGUCAAAGGGGGUUCAGAAAUCUUAGAUGUUGAAUUCUAGUUCUCUUAAAAUUUAAUUUUCAGGCUUUAGUAUAUUUUGUCUUUGCUUUCUUCACAUAACAAAAGAACGGAAGGCGACUUCCUGUUUAGACCUUCCCAUUCCGAGUCCCAAUUAAGUUCAAUUUCAAGUCCAAUAUUAUUUGUUUAUUCACCAGUCUUAAAAGUGGUUCAGCUCUUCUAAGAUCAGGUACUCACGGAUAGAUGUUUUAGAUGCCAAAUUGUCCAGGAAAAAGGCAGCGCUCUCCGAUAACGGCAGUGCGGCUUUGCUGCACAGAGGAAGCAGACGACUCACAGCACCACGCACCUCCCACUCCGGAGCCCGUUACCGGGCUCCUGUACAAGGGGAGAGCGCUCUCGGUGCCCGCCGAGUCCCACGUCCACAGGCUUCUUCCGCCUGUGGUUUUUGCGGGUCCCCGCUGCGCCGUAGCGGCAGGACCCAAGCCUCCGUGCAGCGGGUUCCCUUCAGUCCGAAGGGAAUUCCGCCAUUUUCCGGAGGCGCCACCCCGGAAGUCUCGCCACAGGGUGCUGUCUUGAGCCCGGUCUUAUUCAACAUCUUUAUCAACGACUUGGAUGACGGACUCAAGGGCAUCCUGAUCAAAUUUGCAGAUGACACCAAACUGGGAGGGGUGGCUAACACCCCAGAGGACAGGAUCACACUUCAAAAUGACCUUGACAGAUUAGAGAACUGGGCAAAAACAAACAAGAUGAAUUUUAACAGGGAGAAAUGUAAAGUAUUGCACUUGGGCAAAAAAAAUGAGAGGCACAAAUACAAGAUGGGUGACACCUGGCUUGAGAGCAGUACAUGUGAAAAGGAUCUAGGAGUCUUGGUUGACCACAAACUUGACAUGAGCCAACAGUGUGACGCGGCAGCUAAAAAGCCAAUGCAAUUCUGGGCUGCAUCAAUAGGAGUAUAGCAUCUAGAUCAAGGGAAGUAAUAGUGCCACUGUAUUCUGCUCUGGUCAGACCUCACCUGGAGUACUGUGUCCAGUUCUGGGCACCACAGUUCAAGAAGGACACUGACAAACUGGAACGUGUCCAGAGGAGGGCAACCAAAAUGGUCAAAGGCCUGGAAACGAUGCCUUAUGAGGAACGGCUAAGGGAGCUGGGCAUGUUUAGCCUGGAGAAGAGGAGGUUAAGGGGUGAUAUGAUAGCCAUGUUCAAAUAUAUAAAAGGAUGUCACAUAGAGGAGGGAGAAAGGUUGUUUUCUGCUGCUCCAGAGAAGCGGACACGGAGCAAUGGAUCCAAACUACAAGAAAGAAGAUUCCACCUAAACAUUAGGAAGAACUUCCUGGCAGUAAGAGCUGUUCAACAGUGGAAUUUGCUGCCAAGGAGUGUGGUGGAGUCUCCUUCUUUGGAGGUCUUUAAGCAGAGGCUUGACAACCAUAUGUCGGGGUGCUCUGAUGGUGUUUCCUGCUUGGCAGGGGGUUGGACUUGAUGGCCCUUGUGGUCUCUUCCAACUCUAUGAUUCUAUGAUUCUAUGAAAUGAAUUGGGCUGGUGGUUUAAGAAACUAAAAUUUUGAAUCCUAUGCAUUGCAAGUGCAAAAAGAUGCUCCUGAACAUGCUCAGGAAUAUCUAAUUUUUCUUCCUCUGGCCAACCCUCCUGUUGGAGGACCUACUGGGACUUAAGCUAGAUCUGUGUGUAGCUUCCUCAAGAGAUGAGCCAUCAAAUUCAGCAUCUACCUAGGCAGCAAAGUGCCCUCAAGCCCUGAACUGUCUGGCGAGGCUGGCCAUUGGAUUCUUCUGGACAGGAAGGAAUAUAUGACAGUUCUAGUUGAGCCUUGCCUGAGCAACACUGUUAUCCUGUAUUCUUUGGGCCCUUUGAUUCUGCCUCCUGGUUUGUCCAUUGGUCCUAGCCUCCGACUUUCUCCUUGCUGCUACUUACACCUUGGUCCUGACUAUUGGCUCUGUCUCUUGACUCUGAUCUUCUGGUGCAGCUCCUGGUUCCCAGCUCGUUUCUUACUGCCAUCUCUCUCAUCUCUGUACAAUCAACCCCCUGCCCCGCACUCCACACAAUGGUAUGCUUCCUUGGGUGGAAGAUGGCAGAAGAAGUUAGGCUCAAGCUCUCGCCCAUCAACGCCUUCCAAGCAUUCUCAGGGAACUUGUGUGAAAGUCCCCACCUUCUUCUGAAAAUUCUCUUGAGAAAGCUCAGACAAGCCAAACUACUUAGGUGAGUCGGGAAAACCACACCCAACAGUAACUAGCAGUGGCAGCAAAUGUGAACACUGUUGAUUCAGAAUGUGUCUCUGCCCAAUUCAUACAGAAAGCAUUGAAAAUUACAUGUUGCACACAUCCUAGUAGGAACUAAUGAUCCUAAGCAAGCUCAGGAGCAACCUGGCUAGUUAAAAAGAGAACUAUUAAGACAUUUCCUAUCUUCAGCAAAUUCUCUCCACCCCCAGAUUCAGGUAGGUAGUCGUGUUGGUCUGAUGCAGUCAAAAUAAAAAAUUAAAAAAUAGUCCAGUAACACCUUAGAGACCAACUAAGUUUGUUCUGGGUACAGUGGUACCUUGGGUUACAGAUGCUUCAGGUUACAGACUCCGCUAACCCAGAAAUAGUACCUCGGGUUAAGAACUUUGCUUCAGGAUGAGAACAGAAAUCGUGCUCCGGCGGCGCAGCAGCAGCAGGAGGCCCCAUUGGCUAAAAUGGUACCUCGGGUUAAGAACAGUUUCAGGUUAAGAACGGACCUCCAGAAUGAAUUAAGUUCUUAACCCGAGGUACCACUGUAUAAGCUUUCGUGUGCAUGCACACUUCUUCAGAAGUGCUACUGGACUAUUCUUUAAUUUUUUAUCUCCACUCCCAGUUCUCAACUCAUUUGCAAAACAAGCUUGCUUGGGAAGUAUGGAGAUGGCAUAGAGGACUGGGGCUGAUCUCUAGCUUUCUUUUUUUAAAAAAAUUAAGUACUGUAAGACCCUAACAGUUUUUUGAUAAUUUUCCUAGAAAGAACAAGGGAGUGCCUUCUAUGGUAAGCUAGUGUGAGCUCACACAUCACUGAUAAGGGCAGUAUACACAGGUCUAUUGUAUCAACUCACAAAAGAGAUCCACAAAAGCAUAAACACAUUUCCCAAAAAAACAUAUUCACAUCUUUAAAAAGGAAAAAUAAGAGUUUGUUGACAAUUGUAAGAGGAAUCAUCAAGAAAAAAAGACCUGAGGUUUUGCCAUUUAAUGAGCAAGUCAUUUUGAUCAAUUUAAUCUGACAAGUUACAUCACAUCUCAUUGGUUUAAAUUAGCAUCUUUCCCGUUUCAUUGUGUCUUUCUUAUCUGCUGUGAAAUGCAACCAAUAUAGCUUGAUAUGACACAACACUAUGUUACUUCACAGAAGUUGUGGUUUAGUGCCAUGAGUUCUGACUGACAUAAUUGACAUAAAACCCCUAACAAUGAGUUUUCAGAAUAUAUAUGAUGCCAUCUGAUAACAUACAAUGAUAUUUAGUAUUUGUCACUUAGCGGCUUGCAAUAUAUUUGAUAUAUUACUAACAAUAGAUGCCAACAAGUCAAACAGCUUGAGCCUGUGCUUCUCAUAUACAACCUCCGCACAAGCAACCAGCAACCACAAGGAGACCACAGAAGUUCCUGGGGCUGUCAUGUCCCCGGUUGGUCUAAGAAGGACUCUGAUACAGAUGUUACAGCAGUCACCCCAACUCAAGGGAGCCCCUCAACCUGAUGGGAGUCUUUUGACAUGGCUCUUCCAUCUGCCUCAGAAUCUGAGGACGAUUCCACUGUACCUUUUCAUUCUCCAGAACCACACAGGAAACUGCAACUGUAGAAUAGGUUACAGUACAGACUCUUUAAAUCAGAGGUUUCCAAACUGUGUGUGUCGGCUGCAGUGUGUAGGUGUGUCUCACAAAUGCUCCCCACCCUCCCACCGGGGCUGGAAAGGAGUUUGCUUAACCUCCAGUUUGCUAGUAAAACUGAAUUACUCUGUCGUGAAAUGAUGCAUGUAUAAAAAGUGUGUCGCCAACAUUACAAGUUUGGAAAGUGCUGCUUUAAAUAUUGCAGACAGCUCUCCCAGAGGCAGGGGUGCCAACCUGAAUUUUGGAGUAAGGAGUGCAGAUAAGCCCUGCCCCACAUAACUGAUCACAUUAUGUGGCGCAUGCACACCAUUUGAAUGGCAAUGCCCAUCAACUUUUGGGGAGGUCCAGCCCCCUUAAAUAUUUUAUUGGGGAAGAUGAAAACCCCUCAGCCCCUAGGAGUUGGCUCCUAUGCCUAGAGGAGUGGAACCACUGGAAGCUCAAUGUUUUUAUCGUAAUAGUGUGUCUUUAGUCUGUAUGCCCCCUUGUGAUGUUUAUAUGAAAGUGUGGCUUUAAAAUAUUUUAUGUAAGUAAAUAAUAACAUAAUUCUAGAUGCUUUAAUCUACUUCUAAAAUGUAUCUUAUAUUCCAUGACUGUUGAAGUGUAGGGGCAUUAGUUAUGCUCCAACCAUUUCCAGACAAAUCUAGGAAAAUGGCCAUACCCCUUUCCAUAUAGGAAAUAAAAUAAAUUCUGCACAUGGCAUCUAUAGACAGAUUACAGUCAACGUAGCUGCCAAAUGAAGCUAUGCCAUUCUGUGUGCAUGCAGAAAUAGCUUUAUUUAUUUGAGUGGUACCCCUUCUGCCUUUUAUUUUUAUUUUCCCCUGCAGUAUUUGAUACUUGUCACUGUCUGAUGAAAUUGUAACUGGUCUGAUUUAGUCAGCUUGUUUGUAUAUAGUGGGAAAGAUGCCUGAAGGCAAAGAAGAAGAACAAGGGAAAGUUCCUUCUCGGGAGCACAGCAAUCUUUGUUUUAAUGUACAUAUGAACAACAAUUUGAAACACUGAAAUAUUUAAGUUACUGAAGAAUAUGUGCAAGAAUAUCCCUUAAAACAACAGAAAAGUCUGUAUAUUUGUAGGCAUAUUUUACACAGAUUUUUACAGAUUGAUGUUUCAAUGUGAAACCACAUCAGGGGAAUAAUGAAGAGGAAAUCAGUGGUACUUAAUUAACAGCAAAAAUUAGAAAUUAAUUCUGUAAAUAGAAAGAUCCAGAAGGUGCUUGGUGUACUUGAUGUAUUUGGCUUGAAACUGUUACAAAUAAGAUUUUGGGGAACAGAAUGGAUGAGAGAACAAUAAUAGUUCAUCUGCCUGCAUAUGUGGUACUUUAUGGGUUUUACUCCAUCCAAAAUUAGUAGUUUCAUAGUUCUAAGAGGAUAAUUUACAAAGGAAAUCUUUGCUAGCAAGAUCUCAGCAUCUAAAAUCCCAAUUAAUUGGGCUCUUCUUGGGUGGCAUGAAGUAAAACAAAAACAAGGCAGCCUGAUCUUAUCUAGCUUUCCAUGCUUGUUCUGCUGUGUCUAACCUCUCAAAUGCCUCCUCCACAUUUAUCAGGUAAAUUGUAUACACAUAUCUUACUAUAAGAGACUACUGGUGAAAAUUUGCAACAACCUUUACCAGCAAAGCAUCCAACUGAGUCAACUGCCAAAUAAUAUGCAAAAAUGCAAAGGAAUAUUGUUUAUUGUCUCUGACUCUGGUAUGGGCUGUAUAACUACCCUCCUAUGCCAAAGCUGCCACUCACAAGGUUAAGCCAUAAUAUAAAAACAACUAGCCUCUGUUGUGGAGAGAGAAAUAGCACAAUAGCUGAAGUAUAUACAAAGAAAACAAAGAUUAUCCAAGUUUAACCAAAUAAAACAAAGAGCAGCAGUUCCAAGAUAUAUUGUGGGCAAAGCUUUUUCCAAAACCACAAUUAUUAACUGGUGUGGUAACUUACCAUUUCGGCCUGCUUGUGGAUUUCACCAUUGGAGCCAUUCCAUCCCGAUAGAGGCUUUUUGUUUUACUGAAGUUUACAAUGUUGAAAAUGACUCUCUGAAAGACACAAGGUGAGGGAGAAUCUCAGUUGUUUAUUAAAUAUAUUUCACAUAGAUCACCAAUGUUAGAGCUGUGUAACCAGAUACCAAAUUUUGAAAUAUAAACAAGACAAUAAUUUUAAAAAUCCUUCAGGGGCAUGUAGAAUGCUUUUGCUUAUAUAUUUAAUUUUCCCAGUAUUCUCGUUGCAUGGCUGAAAGUUGCUAAUUGUAUUCUACUGGUAAUCAUUCCAGUUGGGAAAAGAAAGAGAAAAGAAAACGGGAAGACAAGAAAGGAGAUAUGAGCAAAUGUGCAAAAAAAGAGAACAUUUAUUAUUACUCGGCCUCUAGUGUAUUCCUUGCCAGAAACAAGAUAUGAAAGAAAACCCAUGGGAAUAUGUUUUGAACCUACCCCAAAACCAAAACACCAGGUGUUUUUUUUUGGGGGGGGGGAGUCUUUCCUACCUAAUAAGACACCACAGGCUAUGUUAGGCACAGUGUGACAUUCCAGUUAAAAAACAAAUCGUAACAGUGUAUUUGUGGAACACCUGAACCAGAUUAAGAACUGGCUAAUGAAUUUGAGAAAGUAGCCAUUAGUGGAAAUAGUUUCUAAUUUAAAAAGUAAGCAAUUUCUUAAUAUUUAAUAAUAAAUGGUAAAUUUUAUCACCUUGCACUCUGAAAUCACCAGAUGGGGCCUGGAUGAAUCUCCUGACACCAGGGGUGGUGAACUUCCAGCCCAUGGGCCUAAUUAGGCCCACCAGGCCAUUUUGGCCAAACCAUGGCCAUUUGCCUUACACCUGAUGGCAUAGAUAUUGUGUCAGGUGUGCUGGUUCUAACCAGAAGAUGAAGAAUAUGAAGUAUGGUUUCUGCCAAAAUCUUUAAUGCUCAAACCAAUAUACUAUGUAGGUCAAAUAAGUUUCAAAGACACAGCAGGGUAUAUCCACAGAUAAGUCAACUAGGACAUUAAUCCAACAAGCACUCCCUUGGGUAGUCAGGGGAAAUGACUGAAGGAAGUUCAAAAACAUAAGUCUUGUAAGGACUUGGAUUCUUAAGUGGGUUACCUGAGACAAAGGUGAUUAAGCUGAGGCUGAAGCUAGGGGAGGGGCAGGAUUCUUUAAGACAUAAGGUUUAUGGAGGUAAGACAAUAUAAAUUUCCCACCACAGGAUGACUAGACAGUCUUGGAGAGCAAAAGUGAGGAUUGCGUGAGCCAAUAAGGAGAAAGUGUCCCAAGUCCAUUCCAUAUUUAUGAGUGACAAGGCUGUCUCAUGUGCAGAAUGGGGAGGGGCACCCUUAAAAAAUGUAAAUGAGCACUCUGAUUAGAUUACCAAUGGGCAGUGCCAACUGGAAGGCUUUUGUCUUUCAUGUCAGCAGUUGGCAAAUACAGUGGUACCUCGGAUUACAUACGCUUCAGGUUACAGACUCCGCUAACCCAGAAAUAUUACCUCGGGUUAAGAACUUUGCUUCAGGAUGAGAACAGAAAUCAUGCAGCGGCGGCCCAGCGGCAGCAGGAGGCCCCAUUAACUAAAGUGGUGCUUCAGGUUAAGAACAGUUUCAGGUUAAGAACAGAUCUCCAGAACAAAUUAAGUUCUUAACCUGAGGUUCCACUGUAGGUUAGAAUUAAAUGAUACUCUCCAACAUUUGACUGAACAAAUUCGGGGCGAGCAGGAGUCAGUUGACUCAUGUUUCCUCCUCACAGCUUUCUCCUGUGCAUGGGGACGUUACUAUCUCCCUCUCUACAAGCCUACUAGCAGUUACUGCUUCCCCCAUCUUGCCCUCUUACUCCCACACUAACUGCCACCCAGUUUCAAUCCUCGGCCUUUUCCUUGAAACGCAUGUGACUUCAAAGACUCCUACAGUCAACCAUAGAGUCCUACAGUCAACCAUGGAGAGGAGAGGGAAAAACAAGAGCGUAUCCCUUGAGCUCUGUAGCUCUAUACUUAAUCAAGGAGAAUCUCCCCGUGCUUUCAGGGUAGAUGUGUGAUUAUUUCGAAGCACCUCAAUGCUUUUCAGAAAAUUCCUCUCUCCCUUGCUUCCUUUGGUAAUCCAAAACAAAAUGAUCAGAUUUCCAUUUUAUCUAUGGCCCAUGGAGAAUAUGCUAAAUGCCAACAACUGUCUCAAGCUAUGUAUAAGAAAAAAACCAGGAAGCGCACUCUUUCCCCAAAGUUUAUUCUAGUCCAUUUCUAAUAAGGCUCAAGGUGAAGGGGCUAUGUUGGCAUUGUCAGUAAAGCAAAGCAACAUUCAUUUGUGGCCUCAGGAGAGGGAAGAGGAGAGACCAACAGGGCAGGAAGCUUGAGGGCUCUGCAGGGUGCUAGAAUCCAACCUUCUCCAUCCCAAAGGUUAUUAAGCAUUAAUGAGGCUUUGGGAAUAAACCCUCAUGCUGCCUUCCGAUGCUGCUGUCGCAGCCGAAAAGUGGGGUGCCCCAAAUCCAAAAUAAAACCCUGGGGCACCUGACCGAAAACAGGGACUGCCAAUAGGGCAAAAUUGGGGCUCUUCAGGGUCUGUUGAAUUAAGUAUUCACAUACACCUGGAAUUCUUGCUCCACCUUCCCAAGUGGACAAGUUUGUUUACUGCUGAUGGGGAUAGCCAGUAUAUAUACCCAGAUGAUGUUAGACUGCAACUCCCAAUCAGUUUCAUCCAGCAUGUCAAAUGGUUAGGGAUACUAGAAGUCCAACAUCAUAGGAGGGCCACAGGUUCCCCAUGGCUGAUGUAUGUACUAAUUAUGUACUUACUAACUAAUUGUGGUUUUCAGUUUGCUAUGUUCAAGCUGACUUUUUAAUGGGCAGGAUGUCCAUGUAGUACAAUUGCUGUGUUUCUGCUGUUUACAUUCCCAAAAUAGAAAUAUGGCAGUUUGUGAUAUUAAUAUUCAAUAGUAAAAAUGUGUUCAUUCCAAACUGUAAAAUAGAAGCAUUUUAAAUAAAAUAGAAGCUGUUUAAUUUGACCUCUGUUUAUAAAACCAAAUUAAGCUGGAGCAAAUUGGUUAAUUAAACCUGAUGUUCUUGGUGAAUAAUCUAAACUAACAAAGUGCCUCUAUUACUUUAAUGCAAUUAUGCUGAGGUUGGCAUGAAGGUACUUUCUAAUUCUACGAAGUGGAUAAUGACUAACACAGGACAGGUGGCAGACACUAAGAAUGGUCUCAUCCCAACCAAGUGGGUGCCCACACAUCUCUGCUACUUGUUUUGGGUAAAUUUAAAGAACUAGGUUAAGCAGUGAAUUUAUAAAUAUUUGAAAAAGUAUAAUUAUACAGCUUCAACCCCUUUCUCUUAAAGUGCAGUUAGCAAGCAGUUUCAGUCCUUUCAGGAAGCUAUGCUACCUAAAAUCAUUUCAUAGCAGUGAUUAACUUUAUCAAACUAUGCCCCUAGUCUAAUGUAACAUAUAAACCCCAGGUUUAAAAUUAAAAUAGGGAGCUUUGGCAUAUUAUUAGUACAUGUAAAACUCUACUAGAUAGCCUACCAAGUGAAGUAUAUAAAAUGUAAUAAUGUCAAUACACACCUUAACAGAAACAGAAAAUAUGCAGCUUGCUCACUAAAGUAUACAAAUAUAUCCUGAAGUGAAAUAGUGUAAUACAAGUUUGUGAUACAGUAAGGAAACAUUUGCUGACAUUAAUAAAAUAAAUAGCUGCUAGAUUUGACACACACACCCCUUUUGCAGGCAAUUUAAAUAUUCCUGCUGGCUUUACGUAAGCGCUUUUUCCUUCUUUACACAUUUUUUGGUUAAUUGUGACAGUCUGAUACUAAAUCAUGCAAUACAAAGUUGGCAUUUAUUUCAGCAAUGCAAUACUUGCAUCAUAUUGGUGAUACUAACCAGCAUAACAACAACAACAACAACAACAACAACAACAACAACAAUGACCCACCCAUUGAAUUGGGUUGCCCCAGUCACUCUGGGCAACUUCCAACAUAUAUAAAAACAUAAUGAAACAUGUCUCAAACUUCCUGAAUUAACCCCCCUCCCCCAUACCAACAACUACUUACCCUAUCUUCCAGGAUAAGCACCACCAUCCCAUUCCAACCAGUGACAAGCAGUGUAGAUAGUGUUUUAUGUGCUACAUUAUUUCAUGUUAUUUCAUGUUUGAGGGCAGAGGGACGUUAAAGCCCUUUGAUUUCAGGUGUGGGGAACCUUUGGCCCUCAGAAUGUUGCUGAACUACAUCUCCCAUCAUCCUCAGUCAUUAGUCAUGCUGACUAAGGCAGAUGGGAGUUGUAGUUCUGCAACAUCUGGAGGACCAAUGGUUCUCUCACCCUAUUCUGCAUGAAUUAGCAUUGAUUCCCCAGGGUUUAAGAAAGGAGUGUUCUCCAGUCUUGUUUGGAUAUGCUGGGGAUUAGGAACUUCAGUGUGAAAAGCAAAUGCUCUACAACUGAGCUAUUAACUUAAUUCUGUAUGUGUUAAAUUUCAUGUGAACAUUUGUCAAAGGUAGAUAAUACAAUUUUUAUACAGCCUGCAACUAGGCACAUUUCACUUGGAUGCAUUUGGAUUUAUGACCUUCACAAUUAAAAAAAGAAAAUGGAAAGGGGGCAGAUGUCCACGAAAAAUGACGUUGGCAAUCUUACCCACCAUUAACCAAUGUGCUUUGACUAUACAUAAUUUUGGCUUUAGGCAUGAUCCCUGGAAUAUAACCCCCACAUAGGUUAUGGGCUUACUGUACUUUCUGGGUGUUCAAACCAUGGUGCCUACUAAUAACAACAGCCACUAACCAAUUUUUGUCCCACUUGUGACUGUGCAAAUAAAUCAAACUUCUGUACAAACCUGCCAAGAAAGACUGGUAAACAUUACAUCUUUCAGUUUUAGUUCAGCCAGCAAUAUUUAGUUUUAAAUAUCCAGUUGAAUCACUCCUUUCACAUAAUACAUAACUGCUGCUUCUUUUUUGAAAAAAUUAAAUAUUUAUGGCAUUUAGUCCUCCCCUACCAGUUAACAAAUAUUUAAAGCCUGUCUGCUGUCAGGGCAAGAAAAUUCAUUCCCACCUGUGGAGGGAACUGUACAGAGCCCUAGCUGAUUUGUUAAUCAGGAGCACCUGUGCCUUGUUAUGUUUAAGUUGUCAAAGCAUAGGUAGCUACUGAACUCAUUUAAAAUGGCAAUGAAGAGGAGAGCUUACAUAUUUGCAUGCUUUCGCCCACUUCUUGGACUUCCUAUUAAAGAUGCUUUAAGAGGAGAAAAAAACCCAAAAAUAAGACAGAGAAGAAUGACUGUAUUUAGCUGAAUACAUUAUAACGUAAACAUGGCAAAAAGCAACUAUCUUUCCUUUAACAAAAUAUAGCCAGAUGGUUGUUUUUGUGCAUUCUUGUGAAUAAACUUUUGACAAUUCGUAUUUGGAAAUGAUUAUUUUGUUCUGGCAAUAAUUGCAAGAUAGUUGGUAUAAAAUCCAUGUGUGGUUUGUUUUGGUUUAUAACUUUUAAAUUCCACAAUGCACAUUCCGUACCUUGGUAGUAGUCUUUGCAACAAAGUAUUUUAAGUAUGGUCAUGCAUUAAACUUCUCAGUUUCCACAUAAUUAGAGAAGCUAUCCAUGUUUAGGCAUCCAUGUUCUUUUCAAUCACUAUUAUGGCUGCAGGUGGGUGGUAACAGCUGGCUGCUUUAGAAGUUUACUUGCAAAAUCUGCUGAUAUCUUAAUCCUCAAGAGAAGGCAGCUGAGUGAUUCAAGUUUCCAUUCUUAAGGGUAAGCAUUAUUAUGCAGAAAGAAGCAACACUAUGAAGUUUAGCAAGAAAUUACCGCAGAUUCAGGAAUGUUAACAUUGCAAUUGAAACUGUAUACUGGGUAGGGUUCCAUGAUUCACUUUCCAUGGGACAGAACUUCUGUUGCAUUAACUGUUGUACGGACAGAAUGUUUCAUCACGGGCAUUUUCCCCCUCUUUAUAAUAUUGCUUUAAUAUGUCUUUGAUGAAUUUCUCCUUCCUUCACAAUAACCAGCAUCAUGGGAGUCCUGUUCCAAAAGUAUUAGGAAAAAUAAUGUGCUGCUAAUACGUGACAAUAUCUACGUGUGCAGUGCCACUGUGUGCAGAGAUACAACAAAGGAAGUCCAGAUCAAUUUUGUGCACAAAAACAGAGUUUUCAAUGCAUGGACAGGAGUCACCUAACCAGCCCUGUCAAUGGAAGCCGUGUGCAAGGCUUUCUCCUUGUGCAGUGGGGCUUUAACCCUGGCACCCCAACCCUGAAAUAGGCUAGGGAGUGGGGUCAGGAGAACCUCCAGAACACUGUGCUGUAGGAGGAGAGGGGGGGAUUGUUCCAUAAGGCAAUCUGUAGUGCUUCUUCACAUGAAGUUAUUGGAACAGUGUGAUAAUGAAUGUCAUCCUAUGCAAUUUUGGCCUUACCACACUCUAGCUACAGGACCUUCAUUUGCAAACUGAAAAUCCAUGGCCUACAGAGAAUUUGUAGUAGUCUAACCUUGUUUCUUAUAAUAAUCUGAUGCAAUAAAAACUGCCAAACCCUUUGAAUUCUUCACAACUGUUCUCUUGUUACAAUUGAGUGACAACACUGUAACAGCAGUCUCUCUAUUUACUUUUUAUCAGUCAAGGUUUCACAGUUUUGGUCUUUUUACCAAUGAAGCAAUGCUUUUAUGGUAGGUUACCAGAUGUGAUAUGUCAAGCAUAGGCAUCCUCGGCCCUCCAGAUGUUUUGGGACUGCAAUUCCCAUCAUCCCUGACCACUGGUCCCGUUAGCUAAGGAUCAUGGGAGUUGUAGUCCCAAAACAUCUGGAGGGCCGAGGUUGCCUAUGCCUGUGAUAUGUAAAUCAAAGUAUGGAAAUAGAAUCUGACAAUGCCCAAUUGUGUCUGUGACGUGGUCAGUGUGUGCUACAAAAUUAGUCAUUUGUGCGUCUACCUGUGUUGUGUGAAAAUAAUUGGGCUGCCAGCCUUGGAGCUUACACGUAUUUUUCAGUUAAUGUUUUGUGGUCCCUUAGACAUAGUGACCCCUUCAUGGAUCCCUGCCUUGUUGUGGCGAAGGGGCUUGAAUAAUUCAGAGAAGCUAUGAGCUAUGCCGUGCAGGGCCACCCAAGACGGACAAGUCAUAGCUGAGAGUUUAGACUAAAUGUGAUCCAUCUGGAGAAGGAACUGGCAAAUCACUCCAGUAUUCUGCCAAGAAAACUCCAUGGACAUAAAAAAGGAGAAGCUUUGAGAAGAAAGUGAGAAUUUCCAAGGCAUGCUCUGGUUCAUGGGGUCACGGAGAGUCGAACACGACUAAGAUGACUAUACUACAACAACAAGACAUAGUGAUGAGAAUAGAUUUGCUCUUAUGGUUCCUGUUUCCUCAUUCUAUCUCCUACUGUUUCCCCAUUAGACUAGUGAAAGCCUUUUUGCAAUGAAAUUGCAGCCUCCUUAGUCAUCAUGCAACACCAAGAUUUGCAACAUGGCACUAAUGCUAUGGCCCUUGUAUUUGAUCCUAUCUACUUUUUGCCCUGAUCAUAUGAGCAGGCUAUAACUUUGACUCUCUACAUCCUCUGGUUUUUCACAUCUCCUUCUAUAAGAUGCAUCUCAGAAGGCAGAUAUAUAAUGGUUGUGUGGUCUUAAAACAAUGAAUGCCAAAAUAGUAUGUUUCUUCAAUUAUCAAUGUGUAUAUAAUUCUCCCAGCUAGGCUAUCCCUUUAGAAAUCUGAUGCUGUAGGCUCUAUCUCAAAAAAGCUUAUGCCAUCAUAAAUGUGUUAGCUUUUAAGGUGCCAACGGACACUUCGUUGCAUGACUGUUGAGAAACUGAGCAAUACAUAGUGUAAUGUUGAAAGAAGGAAGUAGGAAGACUUGAUACAUAAGGAAGGAACAAAAAAUUAUUACUAUAUUGCCGAAUGUAGGGAAAACAGAUGGUCUCCAGAAAAGCAAAUUAGCUAAAUUACUGGUAGCAUCACAGGGAUUAUGUCUUUCUGUUAAAAAAAAGAAAAGAAAUAAGAGAUUCUCCAAUAAUUAAACACAGAUUGGGUUUAAUUCAGCGGUAGCCAUUUUGUUGGUGAUAUUUUGUAGUAGUUUGAAUGGCUUUUAUUGCUAUUACAAGGUUAAUCACAGGCUUUGCUAUUCAAGUUUAGGUCUCUCGUAAUCUUUCAUACUACAGAAUAGUAAAAAAAGUAAGAUUUAAUUUCAAAUUUCAUUGAUAAUGGUAGUGGAACAAUGCAGGUUUGUUGUUGUAUAGCAUUACUAUUCUAAUAUCAGAAAACUAGUUUCAGUUGUAAGAUCAACAACAAAAUUGAAAGGUUUUCAUUGUUGUUGAUUUGCCAACAUUGGUGAUUUCUGGCCCCACACAUUCAGCUGGACACAGCCUGGACUAGGUUUUUGGUGCUGGAUAGGAUAAGGGUAAUCUAGAUACAGGCUUAGAUACAGUUCUGUUUUCAUGGACAGAUGGUUAUCCAGUCAGAAUUAGGAUCACUGGCAUACCAAAACUUUGCAGGGGAUCUGUUCUGAUGGCUCCACCCAAAAGACUAAAGGAUCAGAAUGUUUUUCUGAUUGUUCUUGCGGAUUUCCCUAUCACACCAGCUGCUGAUCCUGUCAAACCUGCGGUCGACUUCUGGAACAGAGAAAUAGCCAGGGACAUUUACAUGAUUGCUCCUGAACAUUCUCUCCAUGGAAGUGGAGCUCAGCCAAGUUAAUUAUUAUGUGAUUUGAGGAAUGCUGGCAAAGAAAUGACAGGGAAGAGUACUCAAGUGAUAAUGGCAGAUUUGUGACAAAUAUGGUCGAACACAAGCUAUAGCUUAUCACAGACCUUUAUCUGGGGCAAUGGUGGUGGCAAAAUAAAAAUAAAAAACCCUCCCACCACAACAUCCACUCCAUGUCACCCUCAGAAAGGGUGUUAUGCUGAUAGACACUCGGCUACCCUGCCUGUCUGUCUCUGUAGUCCUCGCUCCCAUUGAUAGUAGCAGGUUCCAUCUGCUUUGUUAAUUGGAGACAAAAAUGCUGGUAAUAAAUGGUGAUAUUGAAGCUGGUGUCAUCAAGCAACAGUUUUUUAUCUGCAUAAUUGUGGUAUUAAUUAGCUGGUUAGUUUCCUAUGACCAGGCAUUUGUACAGCCGUCCUGAUUUUUAAAGAAAAAAGAGUACCUGUUCUUCCCCUGUACUCCUCUCACCAGGCAGCAGGAAAGGAACCAAUGCAGCCUGUCCAUUUGCUUAAGCAGGGGGCAGUGGGUGAGCAAACGGCUAAGGGAAUUAUUAUUAUUAUUAUUAUUAUUAUUAUUAUUAUUAUGCCCUCUCACGGUCAAUGUGUAGCAAAAGAUUUAUCCCCUUUCACAUUUGGUAUUUAAAUAGGGUAAAACAUAUACCAUAUGACCAGAAUUCCUAAAUAUGAGAAGCUUCACACAUUCAUUUUCACACCUGUGAUACCCAAGUUCAUACCAAAUUGCUUUUGACGAUGUAUUCUUACAUCCCUGUUUUCUAUAUUUUCUGAUGAAAGGAGGCAUUGCAACGAUAGGUACUGAUUGAUGCUCAACUUGACUACUAAUUUGCUUCCAAAGUAAACUGGCAAGUGAAGCUGACAUAUUCAGAACUCCUAAGCACCAAAUGAUGCUAUUAUACCAGUUGUAAUUUGAAUAUUAAUGUAGUUAUAGCCUUAUAAAAAUAUUAUAGCAUCAAGCAAUUUGUCCAUAUACCAUUCCCUCCCACUAUCUGCCACCCAAAUAAUAAAUGAUACCUAUUAUAUUAAGGCAUAGAAUCAGUACUUUAUAGUAUCUGUUGUAACCUUAGAGCAGCCCUGGGAUUUAUAAAAAUGGAAAAUCUAACUGCAUUGAGCCAAUUUUAUUCUUUCUAAGUGCUAAAAUUAAAAUCUCUUAUGUACUGUAAUGUCACUACUGGGUGUUUUUUUUGGCAUAAUUUCUUUCUUGAGCAUGCAUCUGCUCAGAAGAAAAUAAGAGAAAUGUGGAUAUCUGAUUCUUUAAGCUUGACUGCUAAAUGAAUUAUUUUAAAUAUUUGUAACCUGCGAUUUGGCCUUCCAAAAGGUUUCAAUACAGCCCAUGACAACAGCAAAAUGUAAAGUACAACACUAGAUAAAACAAAGCAAUAAAGGUAAUCCCAAAUGAUGAAUUCGCAGUAUGAAAGCCACAAACGCAGUAUCAACACACCAAAACCAGUUUUGAGUCAACAAAGUCAACCUCAGCUUACUGUAGUUCAGAAGGGAUAUAUUUGGUGGGAGUUCCAGGGAGAAAGCACCCACUCAGGGAAAAAGACUUGUGCAUAAUGCAUUCAAGUCUGAAAAAAGUAGUACUGUAAGCACCAUUUUAGGACUCUUAAUGUGGAAGCCAAGUGGCAGGAGUGGCUGGUGCAGUGAGGUGAGAGUGCAGAGCCAGCCAUCAGACAGCAGGAUUGCACUGUGGGGGUGGGACAGGCAGCAGUGAGGUGAGGUCAGGACUCUGUGAACACAUGAGUAAAGCCAGUCUGGUGCUCUUGCCAGUGUGCACAAGCACCCCCAACCUUACUGGUCUGCCUGGCUCGAGUAAGCACCCAAGAUGCUGAAUUCUGGACUCACAGCUGUCCAUGGAGGCACAGGUCAAUUCUGUGACCAUGGCAGCUGUUUAUCAGCUCCAUCUGGUACGCAGGCUGAGACCCUACCUGCCCACGAACUGUCUCGUGGGCAUGCUCUAGUCAUCUCUCGCUUGGACUAUUGCAAUGCAUUCUAUGUGGGGCUACCUUUGAAGGUGACCCGGAAACUACAACUAAUCCAGAAUGCGGCAGCUAGACUGGUGACUGGGGGCGGCCACCAAGACCACAUAACACUGAUCUUGAAAGACCUACACUGGCUCCCAGGACGUUUCCAAGCACAAUUCAAAGUGUUGGUGCUGACCUUUAAAGCCCUAAACGGCCUCGGUCCAGUAUACUUGAAGGAGCGUCUCCACCCCCAUCCUUCUGCCCGGACACUGAGGUCCAGCGCUGAGGGCCUUCUGGCAGUUCCCUCCCUGUGAGAAGCCAGGUUACAGGGAACCAGGCAGAGGGCCUUCUCGGUAGUGGCACCCACCCUGUGGAACGCCCUCCCAGCAGAUGACAAAGAGAAAAACAACUACCAGACUUUUAGAAGACAUCUGAAGGCAGCCCUGUUUAGGGAAGCUUUUAGUGUUCAAUAGACUAUUGUAUUUUAAUAUUCUGUUGGAAGCCGCCCAGAGUAGCUGGGGAAACCCAGCCAGAUGGACGGGGUAUAAAUAAUAUAUUAUUAUUAUUAUGCUGGCAAGGAGGUGUUUCUGUGCCCCUGCUCCAUCAGCUUAAUGAGGACACUAGUAUUGGGUAAUUGUGUGUGAGCAGGAUCAAUCUGUUGUGCGUUUUUAACACUUUUGCAGAAUAAAAAGGAUGGCAGAUCUCUAAAGGGAGUGUACUACUGUGUUAAUGCUUCAUGACCAAAAUAGAAGGCUAUAAUAAUCUGCAAGAGGGGAAGUGCUUGCCAGCUCAGAUACCUCCAUUCAGCUUUCAGAAGCUUUGAGCACUGGUCAUUGUGGAGGUACAGGACUUGUCUCUUUAAUGUUAUUUCCAUAUGUGGAAUGGAGUCAAUAAACUAUGAACAUCAUUCCACAAGAGUUGGCUGGUCACACCCAAAGUACUCAAUCAAAGUUCAGUUUAGCAGGAAGGAAUGAGGAAAUAUUCCUACUAUCUCCCAAUAUAUUUACUUCCAAACACAAAGAUACACAAAUCAAGGAUCUCUUGCCAGAGAAGUCCACCCAAGGCUAAUCUGUAGUUGCCUCACCCCACAUCAAUCUAUUUCUCCUGACCAUAGGGAAAUAAACGUUACUAGGUUGAUCUGCGUCUUUGCCUAGCAUGGCAAGUUGUCGAUACUCUGUAGGACUGCCUAGGAUAGAAUUAUUUAGAAUUGUUUUAUUCACUUUAUUUGCUAUUUCUUAUUUUGACAACGUGAAUAAAUCUUUUGAUUUGAGUUCUGGAAUUGACACGGUAUUUUAUCUAGCUGAUAGUCCCCUCUAUGUGCCAAGUUGUUUGGUGCAUGCUACAAGCUAAGAAGGAGAGAGAAAGUGAACACUCAGGCCCUGUCCGGGCAGCAACCAGAGAGCUUGCUAAAAGCUACCGUAUUUCCCUCGUCUCAGGUAAAUAAACUUCUUCCUCACCCAGACCUACAUAGAAUCAAGGGAGUGGUGGAAGUUACUAGUCAAUACAUUUUAAAAGUAUGUUAAGCCCUGUCUGCAGCACAGGAUAGGUAGAAUGGCAUUCUUGACGGACAUGAUCUUAAUUGGCAUUCUUUGUCCGACAAGGUGAUCAAAUGUUUGUCCCUGCUCAACACCCCAUUUCUCGUUUGUGAUACCAUAAAUAUAUAAACAUUGUCAUCAUUCUGAACUAGCUUUGUUUGCCCUCGGCAAUGCUGUCAUGUAAACACUUCUGAGCUGCUACAUGACAACCUCACUUGGAAGAAUGGCAAACGGGCGAAAUGCCUUCAUGUCAAAACUGGUGCUGCUGGUCAAGUCAUGGCUAGAGAGAAAAGGCCUGAAAGGAGGAGGGGAGCUCUGUAUUCUGCAUGGGGAGGGGGCUCUGUAUUCUGAGAAACUUUCCCAAUGUCCUGGAAAGCCUCCCUUUCGUGCUGAAAGGGGCACAAUAUUUGAGCAAUAUCAGUGUAUAUAAGUGCAGGCAUAACCUUUUGCUAAAAAGCAAAACAGAACAUUAAUGUUUGAAUAAGCUUAAUGCUGGUGCAGGGAAUUCAAGAACAAACUCAAGCAAGUCUUGUGAAAGCAGUCUGUCAUUCUUGGUGACCUGUUAUAUUGCAUAUGUUAAUGUGACCCAAGAGUAUGUUUCUAAAAUUCUGCUGUCACAGAACAAUGAGCAGCGAUAAAUAAUUGAUAUUUGAUGUUUUGUGCAGCUUUCUGUGUUUCAUAAACAAAUAAUCAUUUAAAUUAUUGAUGUUUCUGCUUGUUUGUUUUCAGCUUUCUUUGGUAAAUCAGAAUUUUAUUUACAGAAUAUACAUUUGUUGCAGAUGCCUUUCAGGCAAUGUGGAAUUGUCAUCCAUCUGACAAAGAUAUUUUGUAUGAGAUUUUCAUCAUUUUGUGACGUUCGUGUUUUGUUUACACCACUUCAGUAAUUCACUUCUGGGACUAAAAGUUGCUUUUGAGGUUUAAACACACUGCAGGAUGCCAAAAAAGCAUCAGAUUCUUCUGUGUUUGAAAGCUUUUGGGCCAUCAAGUGAUCAAAACCUGCCAGAAUCAAACUUGAGAUCUGCCAUUAUAAAUAAGGCACUGACAAUUCUUAUUGUGAAAGGUCAUCCCAAGGGGUAAAGAAGCAAAGACAACUGAAUUGCCCUUGUUCUUUGCUAGGAUAAAAAUGUGUAUGCAAUGUAGAGCUCUUUUGGAACUUUGCUUGUGUCAGUGUUUGAUAUGUAUCAGCCUUGGAAUUAAAUAAUUUUGAUUUCAUUUUGGAAAAUAAAAAUGUAUAGCCAUAUUUGUCAAAUAUAAUGUAUAUCUGAGGACAGGUUUUGGCCAUUCUUAUGUUUUCUAUUCUUUACAGGCAGAAUACUGCAAAAUACCACGAGGAUGUCUGGGUCUUUUCCAUUUCAGUGUAUUGAGGUAGAAUGACACUUAUUGCCAUAGUUCAAAUCACUGUAUUCAUUCCACAAAUAUAGCAAGGUACCCAGUGCUGUGCAGCAUAAGGAUGUUCACAUAAGGGGAAUUCUCCAGUUGCUCCUCUCCACUCCAGCCAAUGCACUUCCAAACAGAGUUGGAGGAUCAUCGAGAGAAGCCUGGGAUGUGGGACAGGGAACUGCAGUGGGAGAAACUGGGUAGAGGCAACUUACACCGUUAUCUUUGUGAUCACAUUGCACUGCAUACAGCACAAAACUGUAAUCAGCUUCAAAAACCUAACUCUUAUUGGCCCAAACUCCAGUGUAUUUUACUAUUUUCAUACAAACACAAGCAAAAAUAGAAAACUCACACUUAAAUGUAGUGGAUUCUAAACUUACUUUCAAAUUUAAAUUAAAUGUGGUCACUUAAUCUUUGACUCUAUAUUACCAGUUUAUAUUUUCCUCAACAGAGAUAUUUGACAACUACGGUUUGCAAGCAGUACUGUAUAUAUUAUAACCCUUUGGCUGGGUUUUUUUUUGGGGGGGGGUUCUGUUUUGCGAUGGCAUUCUGAAAAUAAUGCUCAUGUCUCAAUUUAAUUUGUAAUUUUAGUUUAUAUGUCAGUUUGAAAUGCUGAUUACCUUUUAUGGGAGUAUUUAAGUCCAAAUUUUGAAAGUAUGUUAGAAUUAGGUUGUGUACAUGAUCCAGAAAGGGGCAUGUUUCUGUACUCGUAGAAUAACGUUUCCAUAUAUACACACACACACCAGUUGUAUGAGGAACUAUAUGUAGGUAUUUCACACAGUUUCCCUAGCUCAAUCCCAAACCAGUUGCAUGUGCAUAGCCCUAGUCAGGUAAUUGUUUAGACCGCCCCCAUUCUGUUUUCCCUUAACAUCUCAUCUGCACUCUUGCCAAUUAUGUGGCCAGAAAUGCAUGUGUGAAGCCAGAUUAGGGCCUAUGCAUGUAUGAGACACUUCUGCUGAAUCAAGGCAUUUUUCAUAUUCUACAAUCCUCUUGAACAUGUCUCAAGAAGAACAAGUUACAUUCUCACACAAUUUGCAACUCAUUUCCACAGGGGGUACACAAGAGGAGUUUACAGCAAAUUGCAGCCCUUUACCCCAAUUCUGCUAAGGAAAUCAAUAUGCUUUUCACUUGCUGGAUCAGGAACUAGGGGCCUCAAUCUGAUUCAGAUUCAAGUGUGCAUUGGCAUAUGCAUCUGAAUAUGGAUGUUGCUCAUCCAUACUGCAUUGCUUUCAGCUGAGUAUAUAUUUGAAUUUUAAUAGCCAUCCACAUUCUGGUACAACUAGUCAUAUAUAAAUACAUCUUUUAAAUAUGCCUAGAGUUGGAUUAGGACACUUAUCAGGCACACACAUUUUAGUAAAACGCGCCAAAAAAGGGAAGCAUUGAAGAGUUGCAUACAAAAAAAGAAAUACAUCUCUCACAGAUGCCAAGAAAAAGGAUGGGCUCUUUAUUUUUGUAACAAGCCCAACUCGUUUUGGCCACAAAUGCCUUUGUCAAGGACUUAAUGAACCAGUCUCAAAGCUUGUUGUUGUCAAAGUCUGUUAGGGCAACAUCUCAUGUAUUUCAGUAACCUUUUUUAAAAAAACAAAAGCACAAAUUUUCAGCUGAACUUUGGGGAACAUUUCUGACACAGUAUACACAUUCCAUAGUCAUUUGCUGCUAAUCUAAUGUGUAAAGGCAUAUUAAUAAAUACAUUCAGCUAAACACAAUGCUUCCUCCAACUUGGAUCCAAAGAGCAACUUGUGAUACCGAUCCCACUUAUGCAGGUGUGUGACCACUUCUGCCAAUUUCCUCUACCACCUGCAGCACCCUGCAAUGUGUCAUGCAAAGUUAGAAAAGGUUCCACAACCUUCAAUAGUGGGAAGAAGGUAGGAAAUGCCCACUGAAUGAGCAUAACUCUGCUUGUGGUCCUUUGGAUUUAAGCUUAAGUUGUCAUUCAUCCUGAUCAAAUUCCAUAUUUUCCCAUAUAUUUAUAAUAGACAAUAGUUUUUUACAGUGCAAGUUUUUGAACUAUAAACUCAUGAAAUAUGUCAUUUCAGAUAGGGCAGUGCUUGGCAUAAAUUUUCCAGUCAUUCAGAUAGAUGGGUAAUAAAAAUAAUGUGCACUUUUAUUGGAGAUAUGAUAAGUAAAUGUGUUAUUGUCUUCAAACAAAUGUGUAUAGCUACCGUGAGCUUCUGAACGAAUGGCAGUUUUUAACAGUAAACUUUCCUAAAAGCUGCAUGAACACAAAAGCAACUUUACUGCAUCUGAGGCAGGUGCUUUCCUCCUAAAAUGAAUUUAAAACAUAUGAAGAAAACUGUAUUAAUGAUGUAUAUACGUGCCAAUACACAUAUUGUGUAUAUACACACAAUGUCCUGUGUGUUGGAUGAUGAUCACUGUAGCUAGGGAUUUACCGGUAUAUGUUUUUUACUGCACCUAAUGCUUUGGAAUUAUGGUGUUGGAGGAGACUCUUGAGAGUCCCAUGGACUGAAAGAUCAAACCUCUCCAUUCUUAAGGAAAUCAGCCCUGAGUGCUCACUGGAAGGACAGAUUGUGAAGCUGAGGCUCCAAUACUUUGGCCACCUCAUGAGAAGAGAAGACUCCCUGGAAAAGACCCUAAUGUUGGGAAAGAUUGAGGGCACAAGGAGAAGGGGAUGACAGAGGACGAGAUGGUUGGGCAGUGUUCUCGAAGCUACCAGCAUGAGUUUGACCAAACUGUGGGAGGCAGUGGAAGACAGGAGUGCCUGGCGUGCUCUGGUCCAUGGGGUCACAAAGAGUCGGGCACGACUAAAUGACUAAACAACAACAACACUGCACCUAACAUCUUAUUGGUAUUAAAUAAAUCAGAGAUGGACAGAUGGUGAGCCUUACAUUGGAUCUAACCCCUAAAAAAAUGUAUAUGGCUCUAAGUAAUGCCAACAAAUUUCAAAUCAAGAUUUAGUAGUAGUUGGGGGUUUUUUUAAGCAGCUUCAAUGGUACAAAAAUCAAUGGAACAACGUAUUUUUUUACAUUAUUGGGUGAUAGCCAACUAAAUCAUAACCAGAGUUGAGUUACUAAAAUAAAAGAACUACUGUUAGGAGAUUUUUGAAAUAUUAAGUGGUUUAUAAAUGCAUUUCAAUAAAUACAUUGACUUCAAUGGGUUUACUCUGACUAUGAGUAACAGUGGAUAGCACCCAUUGUUUUCCUCUCAUGCAUAUUAUGAAGGGCAAAGAACACUGAGCCAGUGUGGUGUAGUGGUUAAGAGUGGUAGUCUCGUAAUCUGGGGAACCGGGUUCGCGUCUCUGCUCCUCCACAUGCAGCUGCUGGGUGACCUUGGGCUAGUCACACUUCUUUGAAGUCUCUCAGCCCCACUCACCUCACAGAGUGUUUGUUGUGGGGGAGGAAAGGAGAAUGUUAGCCGCUUUGAGACUCCUGAAGGGGAGUGAAAGGCGGGAUAUCAAAUCCAAACUCUUCUUCUUCUUCUUCUUCUUCUUCUUCUUCUUCUUCUUCUUCUUCACCACUGUCAAUUCUGCCUUUUGAAAGUGUAUUUUGCUAAAUUCAUUGGUUUGCAGCCACUCUCCCUUCAAUGACUUAAUGCUAUCUGAGCACAUACCUGUGAAGCACUUACUACCAAGCAAACCAACGUUGCUAUAAAGCCUGACCAUCUGUGAGGGAUUUGGAUUGUUCCACCACCUGGUCUAGAGUGGCUCUCAAGAAGUUGAAAGUUGGCCAAGCCUGAAAUAAACAAGUUUCGAAAGCAAUUUCCAGAGGGCUACCUUUGUCAGUCUCUCAAAGUGAAAACAACAGAAAGUCUUUUCAAGCCUUAAAGACUAACUGAUUUAUUAUGGCAUAAGCGUUUGUGUAUUAUCGUCCACUUCAUCAGAUGCAGAAUUAUCCUCAGCUGGUAGACACAGGUACACUUGGCAGUGAGAGAGAGAAAUGCUAGCAGUAAUGCCAGAGAGAAAUGAAAUGAAUGAAAUACAGUGAUACUGUAUUAAAGCAUAAAUGUAUGUAGAAUAAUUGCAGUGACCAUUCACAAAGCAGUGUUGCCGAUUAUGCAAAUACGAUUACGCAUUGGCAAAGUGAUUAACACCUGUAGUGGACUAAAAUUCCACUACUGCAAUAGCACUAACAGAUACAAGUUAAAGGUACAGAGUGCCUUGUAAUUCCACUUCAUCCCUAUAAUCUUCCUGAGAAUCUCCAUUUUCCUUUUACCAGUGGAGAAUUAAGGCUAAAGUGGAUAUUCAUACUUGCGUUAAAGUGUUUUUUAAAUAAUAGCCAGGGUUAUCUAUUAUGGCAAACAACAACAACAACAACAACUGGGGUGAAUUCAACCCAGACUUAAUCUUGCUUAACCCAUUGAAAUGUUUAGCCUUAAUCAUGCUUAACUUCUGUCUUAGAUUUAGGCUAUGUUGUUGUAAUAAUGGCUAGCAUAUUAUAGUUUGUCUGAGUUGUUUGUCUGAGUUGUGGGGUCAAUGUUAAUCAGUGAAGAUAUGAAUUAAGAACACUUUUUUCUAUUUUUGAGUCUAUUUCAGUUUCCUGUUGUAUUAAGAAUCAGAAUAGGCUUUUCUUUCUAACAGUGAAUGGAAGCUUGUGUUAACAUGCAUAUUUAUUUAGAUUUAAUUGAAUGAUUAAUUGGUGGAAAUGAGAUCAUUAAUCAACUAUGCAAUUCGUUAAGCAUGACAGCCCUACUUUUUUUAAAACUUUUUUUAGAAGGUAAUUCCCUGCAAAGAUGUGGCAUCCCAAAUGACCCUGGGCCAGAAAGAGAUUCCAGAAUGUCCACUACAGAGGAACAGGUAUAGCGCAGAAUAAAUAAAUAAAACAAAAACAUGACCAGCCACUUUAAGCAAGUCCCACUUUGUCAUCAGAAAGUCAAUUCACUCAGCUUAGCAGCAUUCAAUUCUCAAUAACAUUUUGUUCUGGGUCUCUGUCAAGUUAUUCUAGGCUGUGAAAUUGUCAGGAAUGAUGGAUGACUAUCACCCUUCUGCUAUCUUUUUGCUUGUUCCUUAGAGAUUUGCAGCUGCUGACUGCAAGACUCUUUUCUUUCGUUCUUUCUUUUUUCCAAACAUGCCAAAUGAACAACAGUAAUUACCAGAGAGCCUACACUACAAUUAUUGUAGCACAUAACUUUGUAUCGACAUCUGCAAGAGACAGAAUGUUCAAGAUUGAUUAGUAAUGAUAUCGCUUCCUGCUUUUAUACCAAUGUUCACACAGUUUAUUUAUUUGUAUCUAAUUUUCACAUAAAACAUUGCCUUCUCAUUUCUCACUGUUCGUAACCUGUAGAUUUCUACUAAUUUCUUGCAAUGUAUAAUGGUUUAAGCAAGCGUUCUGCCAAUGCCCAAUUAAGUUGUACAGCAUUUAUAACACAGGGCAGAGUAAAAGACCACAUCUGUAUUUGUCAGGAAAAAAUAAAAAAGUUACUCUGUUGUUCCAGAACAAACUACAUAAAGGUGUACAGCAGUUCAGUGUGUGGUCUGUAUAAUGAGGUAAAGCAGGGUGACUUGAUGCAUUUUCUUCCUCUCCCAUCACGCUGAAGCACAGUGUCAAACUGCCUACAAUGGAUUAGGGCCCUUGCAAAGCCUCAUGUUGCUCUGUUGUUUCUGCCCUUUACAGUUCUGUUUUCCUUUUUAUCUGUGUUUCCCAAGGUCCAUGAGCUACAACAGAUUUUCGAUAUGCGUUCCCAUAUGCAGAAUGGUAGACUGGAAUUAAGCAUAGCUGCUUCAGAAAGGUUGUAGCUCUGUGGUAGAUAGAGUGCAUGCUCUGCAUAGAGGUCUCAGAUUAAAUCCCCGAUCUCACAGAAUUGCUUAUCCUCCAUCAUCCCAUUUAUCAAUAUCAGGACACUCUUUGGAGGGGGGGGAGUGUCCUGAGCUCUUGUAGGAGUGCAAGACCAAAAAAUGUGUGUCUUUUGGUUAGCUGGUGUGAACCAGCUAACUCACGCCAGAGCACUGGACAAAAAAACGGGACAUUCUGGGAUCCAAUGAGAAUGUAAGGGAAGUCAGGGAAGUCCUGCUCAAACCUGACCAAGGCAAAAUAGUCUGACCAAGGCAAAAUAGAAUGAUACUAUUAUUUUCCUUGAUCUGGACACUAACGUUGAUGCAGUUAAAAGGACUAAAGAAGCUGAAGAAGGAAGGUUUACAGCUCAGUGAUGGAGCGUAUAUGUCACAUGGAGAAGAUCCCAAGUUCAAACUUGAUUAAAAAAAACCUCAGAUAGUAGGACUAGAACAGAAUGUUGUCUGAGACUUUGGAAAGCUGUUGCCAAUCAGAGUACAAUGUACUGUUAUACAACAAACUAUGCUUACUUGAAGAAGAAGAAGAGGAGUUUGGAUUUGAUAUCCCGCUUUAUCACUACCCGAAGGAGUCUCAAAGCGGCUAACAUUCUCCUUUCCCUUCCUCCCCCACAACAAACACUCUGUGAGGUGAGUGGGGCUGAGAGACUUCAAAGAAGUGUGACUGGCCCAAGGUCACCCAGCAGCUGCAUGUGGAGGAGCGGAGACGCAAACCCGGUUCACCAGAUUACGAGUCUACCACUCUUAACCACUACACCACACUGGCUCUACUUAGGUAAAAGUUCAGCAGUUACACUGCCUCAGUACUAUGGGGGUGUGCAACAGAUAAUAUUUUCAAGACAUGCCAUUUCUACUGCUACUACUACUACUACUACUACUACUACUAAUAAUAAUAAUAAUAAUGGAUUGUGUAUAUGCCUCCCAUCUAACUGGGUUGUCCCAGCCACUCAGAGCAGCUCCCAACAAUAUAUUAAAAAUGCAAAAUAAUUUGCAAUUCUUAUCUCAAAUUUUAAAAACACAGUUUGCUAUUUAGCUUCUGAGAAACACAAGCCCCAAACUUCAGUGGGCAUGUAAAACCAGUAAUGCAACUCUGGAUUGUGACCAUAGUAAUAUGCUCAUCUAUAUUCUGAUCAGGUAUUUGAACCUAAAUUUCUCACACCCAAUCCAAACAUAGUAUUCACUGCACCAUGCUGCCCCUUGGUGGCUUAAGACAUGAAAACUGGUAAAAAUGUAUUAAUGUUUAUAAUAAAAAUUCAUAGCUUAUUGCAUUGUAGAACACCCCCUGCAGAAGCCAAUUCCAUGAUGUUCCUUGUCUCAUCUUUCCAUAUCCUAUGCUACUUUCAAAAGAAUGAAUAGUAUCUGUGAUGCAAUAUACGGUACUUAUUUGUUCAUUUUCAAACCUUUGUUCAUCAACAAUGCAGUAUAUAUUUUUAAUGGACAAAAAAAUGAAAACAGUAAACAUCUGCAUGUAACAGAUAUGUAAGUACUUUGGUAAAUUUGCUGGUUUAUCCAAGAUUAGAUUUAUCAAAAGAAAAAUACAGACCAAUCAUCUCAGUGGUUUACAGAACAAUCCACCCCACUUUGUGCUAGGUUGUUUGGGGGUACUGCAGCAUUGGGUGGAGGUUUCCCUCCACUGGCCUCUGAGAUGCCAGAGUCACUCUGAUAACACAUAGCUCUGCUUCCAUGUACCCAAUAUGCAGGUGAGUGGAAGUGCGGCCAGUGUGUUCCCCAAAUAAGGGGACAGUGGAAAGUUCUGGAAUCAGGCAUUCCAGGAGCAAGCAGGUGCUGAGCAUCCUUGCAUUUUUGUAAAGAAAGCCAUGAACAAAUGCAACAAAUAAACAAGUGUAUAUAGGUCACCUAGCUUCUUCCCCACUUAUACAAUCCAAUACAGUGGUACCUGAGGUUACAGACGCUUCAGGUUACAGACUCCGCCAACCCAGAAAUAGUACCUCGGGAUAAGAACUUUGCUUCAGGAUGAGAACAGAAAUUGUGCUCUGGCGGUGCAGCAGCAGCAGGAGGCCCCAUUAGCUAAAGUGAUACCUCGGGUUAAGAACAGUAACAGGUUAAGAACGGACCUUCAAAACAAAUUAAGUUCUUAACCUGAGGUACCACUGUACUUGGCUAUGAAACCCCUACAUGUAUAGCCCCUGAAAUAUUUUGUACCUAAUUUUGAAUUAACAGCUGAUGUUCUAGAAUGAAAAUUAAAUGACCUUUCUUUCUUUUUUUAGGGUGGGGAUCCAAAAGAUUGCUCAAGGAACUUUGCAAGGUAACAAUAAGUUUUCAGAGGUGACAUUCAACUGUCUCUGAUGCAGUCAAAAAAUGAGGAAGUUCUGGUUCGUGGGCAGGAAUUGCAUGUCUCUAUAGAUCCCAACUGUUGUGGCUGCAUUUACCAAACAUAAACCAGCUGCUUCCUGCUUUACCUUUUAACCCUGUAAAUGUUAUCUCUAUUGAUAUUACACCUAUAACUACAGUGGAAGAGAUUUAACAAGGCAUUAUAGAAGCUUCUGAGUUUGUCUGCAGCUCAUGCGUGCUUCUAAUUGGAAAUUACUGCACUGUCUUCACAUAGAGAUAAGGAUUUAUGUCAUUUUAUCUAGAGAAUAAUUUUCUCACAAGAGAAAAAAUUAAAACCACAUUUAAUCAAACAUUAAUUUACCAUUAAUGUGUUCAUAAGUUAUCUUACUUUAUUUAGAAAUUGUCAGUAAUCCUGUUUGUGUAUGCAUUUAAAUACAAGUCAGUCACUUCCUUUCUUCCUCCUCCUACAAUACUCAUCCCCAUUCUCAUGAUAUUACAGUAUCACUAUGACAACAAUCGUACUGUUUUAAGAAUGCUUAGAAAGGGAGAAUGAAAGUGAUCUUAUCUGUGCAAGUCUGCCUGAAAAAACGUAUGGUGAAUGAAGGAGAGCUGAAGAAAGACGAAACAAUACAUUUACACACACAAUAUUAGUUGAGAUUCACAUAACAGCUAGUAUUAAAACCUAGCAGAGGCAUAUAAUUUUGAGUUCAUGACAGUAUAACCUAAGGUUUGCAAUCAUGCACUCAGUUAAAUAGGUUUUAAGCGAGCAUAUCUGGAUAGAGAAGGUCAUAUGUAUACAGUGGGUAGCAAAACAUUUACAGGGAACUGGAGAAAAUCCUUUCUUUGCAAUGAUACUGCUUAUGUUCUAAGGCUGUGCAUUAUGAUCACCAACAUCUUGCCCUCAGAAGAAGUUUAGACAGUCUAAUUUUGAAUUGUUGACAUCUCCUCGGUUUAUUAAAUCCUAUUUACAACAGACCAUGCUCUAUUUUAGUGCAGCUAUGGGGAAUCAAGGAGCUUGUGGAGUUCUGUUCAGAACUUCUCAGUUUUAUACAUACUGCAGUUUUGAAAUUGCAAGAGUUUGGAAUCAGGGAGGAGCUGAAUGAGUAAGGUUCGAUCCAGACAAAAUGGAGAUGUUGAUGACAGUUCUUCCAGUUAACACAGGAGAAGAUGAAGGUUCAGUAGAAGGUUGUAUUCCCAUAUACACUCUUGAGCUGCUCCUAGACCUAAACUCUGUUCCUGAAACCUGGCUGGCAUCUAUCACAAGGAAUGCCUUUCAGCAACAUAUACUGGUGAGUCUGUGGCUGCUCCUGGAGAAGGUCAAAUUGGUCACUGGCAUUCAGGUCUUGGCAACCUCCAGGCUGGAGUUGAUGAGGCUGCCUUUGAAGUCUGUUGAAAACUUCAAUUAGUUUGAAGUUCAAAGUGUUUACUUUUAAAAUACUAAAAUACUGUCUUUCGAUUAACCUUUGAGGGUGUAACUUGAGUAGUUUUGUCCAGCUGAUUUAACAGCCACUGAUAAAUUAUGAUGUAUUUUAAUGCUCCUUUGGCAUAUUUCUUUCUUGCAGUUGUGUUAUAGUUCCUUCUUUAUAUUUGCUGUUAUCUGUUGGUUGGUGGUUUUGAUGCCUUUAUAUUUGCUGGUCAAUGCCUGAGGGCUAUGUUCAGCUGAUGAAGGAGAAAAAAGCCACAUAUCAAUAACCAGGAGAAAUUGGUAGACUGGAAACAGCCAUGAGAGUGGCAACCACUUGACAGGAAAGUGAAGAUUCUCAAUGCACUAUGCUUCCAAUGCAGUGGAUAUUCUCCCAUGCUUGUAUAUUGAAGGAGAAGGUUUCUGACUUUCAUUGGUUUAUCACUAUCUUCCUUGAAGGUAUUUCCCCAUUGUUACCUUUCCAGGAAAACUGCGCUAAACUGUCCUUUGUGGUGGCUUGAAGACCUGAUUGAAGACCAAUGAGGUGCAGAUCACAGCUUACAUGUAGACCAGCCCAUCACAGCUUACAUGUAGACCAGCCCACAAAUAGUGAAUUUAGUCAGUGGUCAUAAACAUGGACUCAGAUCAUGGCUCAAGGAUUGUAGGUGAGGAAGCAGUCUUGUCCCUGUCAACUUUUCCAAGGACUAACAUAGCAGGACACGCUGGAAGUCAUUUGAUAAUUUGAAAAUGGCUGACAAUAGUUGGGUUACGUUAUAGCCAAGUGGCAAUACACUUCAGGAUCUAGCUCUUCAACAGAUGCCACAUCUUGUACCGCAUAAACCCAGCAGCGAACCCCUUCCUUAGGACAGCUGGUGCAGAACUAGGCACAGUAUCACAACAGCAAGUAACCUCUGUGCCCAGUUCAGAUGGUCUGCAAAAGCACCAUAGGACCCAAAGCACUUGCAGAACAGCAUGAACUUGCCUUACUCUGAAAUGCUACAAGACAAAACUACCCAUUGGAACGAUAAUUUUAUAUGAUUGGGAGGCUACACAGCCAGCAUCUAGCAAGUAACAAAUAAUGCAAGAAAAAAAGCAGGUACAGGAAUGGAUAAGGUAACUUAAGCAAGUUCAAGGAAGGAAUGAAAGUUUUCAAUCUCUUGUUUCCCUGUAGCUCCCUGUGAUCCCUUAAAAGGCCGCCCCAGGAAGUCAAAGGGUAGUUCUGAAAUGAGGUGUAAGAGGCUGCCUGAGAGUUUAAUUAUCAUUAGGACCCAAGUCCAAUUUUGGAUAACUCUAUCUAUCCCCCAACAGCUUCCUACACCCCAUCCAACAUUGUUGAGGAAGACCUAACCAACAUUUCAGAGCAGCUUUCUGGGAAUAGGGGUUUUGCUGGAUCUAGAAAAGGAUACAAAACUUUCCUUCCAUAAAUUUCCUUCAUGUAGCAUAUAUUAAGACCCAAGCCAUAAUUAGAGCAUGUGUGCUGAUCAGCCAGCUAUGUUAUUUGAGAGGGCACAGCAGUGGGGAAAAUUACUUUGCUCCUGACAGUGAGUGGGCACAAGGUAAGAGUGCUGCAAGGCCUGAGGUGGUCAACAAAGAUGUGGGCCUUAAUAAACUGCUUACAUACACCCUCAACAAAAACACCUUCAAUAAAUCAGACUGAGUCUGAGCUACUGCACAGCUGCAUUUCUUGACCCAUCCCUUAUCCUUCAGAGACCAUCCUUGAUGUCUGCUCACCUGGAGACAUUGUAGGAAAAGCAAGAAGGAUAAAGGACUACGUAUGUUAUCUCUCUUGACAAGAAAUCUUGAAAAUGCAGUUAUGAAAAUGAAAAAAGAAGUCCCAGGAAGCCUGAAAUGAGUGGAGUGGGGUGACACAGUUUGAAGUCUCUGACCUUUUACACUCUGGUUUGGAGGGGAAAAUGAAAGGUCUAUUCAAUGGUAAGGUACUUGAAAUGGAGCUGUAGAAUAUCUGGAUAUGCUGGAGUUUAAAAGUUUUAAAAUAAUGAUAAUAAGCCAGCUCAACGUCUUUAUAAAUUUACCAUUUGUCUUGCCUACCAGCAAGACUUUCUUCAGAGAGGCUGUUUGGAAGUUGGGUUUGUUGUUGGUAUCAGGAAAACUUGUCUGUUGCCUUCAAAUGUUGAGAUGCUUGCUUUUACAAGAAACAGUAGCAUGACAUGACCCUGAGGCAAGCCUGUCACCUUCAUUGCAAAUCUUUAGGUGCCAGGCAAAAACAUUUCUCUUCUCCUAAGCCUCUGGCUAAUUAAGCAACAUAUGGCCUUUUAAACUGGUGGUGAGGGCAUUAUUUUGCUUGUUUGUUACUAUGUUAUAAAAUUUUGUGGUUUUAUAUUGUAAGCUGCCCUGUGAUCCUCGGAUGAAGGGUGUUAUAGAAAUUUAAUAGAUAAAUAAAUAAAAAUAAAAUGCCCAGUCUCUUUUCUCACCUGUAAUGCAGGAGGAAGAGUAGGGUUUGGAAGAGGUCUCAGGUGUAGAAUAGCAUGAACAGAAUCAUGAGGAAAAAGACAUUGAAGAAGCUGUGUCCCAUGAAGAUUUCCACAAAUAGACAUUGUUUGUCUAUUUUUUUAUUGUAUGUUAGUUUUAAAAAUAACCACAUGAGAAAAUGAAGAAUAUCAACAGGAGAGACCUUUAUUUUUGACCAUGAAAACAAAAAAGAGAAAGUAAACAUCUGUAAUAUGCUUAUCAUUUCAGCCAAAAGUUGGCCAACAAAAGUUGUGCUUCCCUUUAGCAAAAAUAAGGAAUUAUCUUUUGACAUUCUUUCUUUAGAAACAAAUGUCCAUUCCACUUAGCCCAUCCUAACAGCCAGAUCCUUUGCUUAGCUCCUCCAGAGUAUCAAUUUGGUGGUGUGCCUUCUGUCUGU